Molecule: long non-coding RNA, 45645 nt
Filed under: Olea europaea (common olive)
Lineage: Eukaryota; Viridiplantae; Streptophyta; Magnoliopsida; Lamiales; Oleaceae
Description: long non-coding RNA (OEUR_LNC007342)
Source: RNAcentral
UUCAUUUCGUUGAACACAAAUAUAAAACCAUUACAAAAAAUAUAGCAACAACCACAACAUUUGUUUACUCUCAAGCGACGCGUAUAAAUGACGUGUUCAUAGGCAGAUGAUGAUUAUUGUUUAGACUUCACGAUAGCCAGAAGUUUGCAGCUCACAACAUCUUCGUUGAUCUACAAAUUCGGACCAACUUUAACGGAGAUGUUUUCAAAACUCGGUCUCUGUUUUAGGCGUAAAUAGAUUGGGGUUGAUUUCUUCUUCAAUGGGUUGACGCCGGCUGAAGGUGGUGAGGCUGUGUGUCGGCGAAACGGCAGUGGCUUUCUAGUGUACGAUUUUGGGGAAAAAUGCGUGAGAAAUGUGUUUAUUUGUCUUUUUCAAGUUCUCAAUUUAUGUUUUUUUUCUUAAAUGCAUAUCACCCUAUGAAAAAAUUGUCAACAUCCCUGUACGAGUAGCACAAUUAGAUAAGAAAUAUCAGAAAGAAUUUUGAGACUUGUACACCGAAAUGUACCCGUGUACCGAUCCCUCACAAGAAGGGAAGGCCCACCAUUAAUAAAAGAAUCGUGGAUCCCCCCACUCCCCUUCCCAUUGUGACGGCGUCGGUACGAGUAGCAUGCUCUUACCAGAAAUUGUUGGUUUGCGUGCUUUAUCGCUAGCAGUUAAUAGUCUUCCUUUCAACACCAUACUCCACCCCCACCCCGACGCUCUCCCUUUAAUUAUAAGCUCCCAAAACCUGGUAUAUCAGUAGAUUAUUGAAGCAAGGUUGUGGAAUUUACCAAGAAAUAAGGCAUGGCAAACUCCACUCAGUUGAAAUCCGAAGCCCUCAUGGAGCAAAUGAAACUCCAUAUGUCAACUGACGCAGGCAAAAAGCUUGUUGAAAAAAUUGGCUUGGUUUAUCAGAUCAACAUAGCCCCCAAGGUUUUGUUUUUAUUAAAUCAUUAUUCGAUUAUUUGUGUUGAUAUUUAUGAAAUUCUUGUAAUUAUGUAUUGUGUUUUUCGUAAUUGGCAGAAAAUUGGAUUUAACGAGAAGUCUUUUGUUGUUGAUCUGAAGAAAGGGGAAGUUAAGGAAGGUUAGGGUUCUAGAAACACUUCACUAUUUCAGUUUUUUCGGCUUAAUUUCAAGUAUAUCAACAGUAAUUUAUCAGGAAAUCUGGAAUAUAGCCUCAAAUUAAAUCAUCAAGAUUUAAUACUUCCAUCUACUGGCUUUUUUCUAGGGCCAUACGAGGAUGGGAAGCCUGAUGCUACCUUUUCGUUUACUGACGAUGAUUUUCUUAAGGUUGCCUCUGGGAAGAUGAAUCCUCAAAUUGCAUUCAUGAGGUGCCUUUUUAGUUCGUUUUCUACUUCAAUUUGUAAUUUGGCUGAAUUGAUGUGUUUUGGUGAAUGAAAAUUAUAAUUUCGAUUUAGAUGUGUUGGAUGGAUGCAGGGGUGCUAUGAAGAUAAAAGGGAGCUUAAGUGCGGCCCAAAAAUUUACACCAGAUAUUUUCCCCAAACCCUCGAAGAUGUGAGCGGUCAGGUCACAAUGUACUAGAUUAUGUUCUAGCCAAAAUUUCACACAUUGUUUAGCCGUUUAGGAAGAUAGCAAUGUUAUCAAGUCUGCUCUUGUAUAAGAUGAAAUGGAUGUUUUCUUGUGUGUCUUAGUACUCGAAUGAAGGCGUGCUUUUUAUGAGGAUUUCAAGACACUGAGCCCAUUGAAAUAAAUACUGUCAUUGGUUUAUGUGUUUCUAGCUGGUGUACUUAUGCAGAAAUUGGCUGAUAUGGACAUAUGGUCUCCUUUACAUAUUUUGUGGCAUUCUUGUCUGAGGUCUAAAGUCAAUUUGGAUUAGACAGUUGUUGCUGGUGAUAAUUCUUAUUGAUCCUUGUUUUACAGAUUUGGGAAAAGCCUAUUCCUUAAGAGCUCUUCGGACAUAAAAUUAGACAUAUUAGUGUCUUGUAACGGUGAAUCGAAGUUGAGGGAAGAACAGUAAGGAGGUGUUGCAUGUAAUUCUCUAAUAAUAUGUGCUCAAAAUUGAAAUUGUGAAAUGGCAUACACUCACAUAUGUAAAUUUUGUACUAUCUAUAGCCAAUAUCAGUUUAAUCACCUAUUUUUGUUGGAAAAGUUGCUUUGUGAUUCGUAUGCUCAAGGAUGAUGGAGUAUUGUUAAAGUUCAUUGUCAGUGCUUUUAUCUUAUGAUCUUACUGGAUGUUCACUCCUCGAGAGCUCGUUUACUGGUGAGCAUGCCUUGAGUUGUACGAUACAAUGUCUUUUUUUUGGUAACAUAACUUUCUUUACUAUCAAGAAAAUAAGGGGAUGGCGUCAGUUUUAGUGCAUCAAAUGCAACUAAUUUUUGUCAAAAAUCUAGGCGCUUAAUACUGAACAUGUAAAUUGACUGAGUGAAGUGCCAAAAUGCUGAAAGUCUAGUGCUAAAAGUGCCAUAUCCUCUUGUUGGUUCAGAAACUAGUAAUGGAUGAUGGAUAAGGUUCCGUGAUAUAAAACUCCUGGAUUUUUCGACUGGAAAUAAUAAAUUUUGUUUUCAUGUCAAUAUCGCAUUAGCGUUGGGCCAAUAUUUGUACUUGUAUCAACUUGUACAGGUUUCCUGGGAUUUUCUUCAGCAUGAAAUAAGCUAAAAGUUACUUUUCCUUCUUACUUGAGGAUAAAUUAUGUUUAUGAUUUAUAUCAAUAUUCUGGUGAAAAUGCUAUAUGAGCUUUCAUCUUGGAGCUAAUUUCAGUUUUGGAAAUAUGUUACUGUUUAAUGUGUGGGCUAAAGCUGAAGCUGGCAUGGUGGUGCAGAAGUCUUCAAAUGGCUUGAACAUUUGAUACAAUAUGAAGACAACAUGUAAUGUAUUAGAAGAAUGGUAAAAGCAAGAGCCAGAUCACAGUCCUCCUUUGACAGCAGGCUAUCUUUAUCUUCAACAUUUGAAGCUUCAUUUUCUAGAAAAUGAGGUUUGCAAUCUACCACAUCUAUACUUUGAACUUCGUGCCAUAAGUGAUUCUGGAUUUGACUGGGUUUAGUUUGUAAACAUUUGCUCAGAUUUGGUUCGAGGUAAAUUAUUCUUGAUGCAGGUUUAUUUAACUUCCAUCAUAAUCAAACUUGGAGAAGAUUGAAUCCCUAUAUUUAUAAAAGCAGUACCUAUCAUACAGAAGCUAUAUGGCAACUUGAAAAAAUAAACAAUAUUGUGAGAAAAGAGCAAUUUAAAGGGAAAAAAAUAAAAUAGAAGGGAGACUGGCAGAAAAAACAUGAAUCACUUGCUUUACGAUAAUUAUGUCUGAGAUCACAUCUUUCUUUUAUAUCCAUAUCUAUUAAUGAUUUUGCAUCUAAAAUCCCCCCCCCCCCCCCCGGGGGGGAUUUUGCUGCAAUGCAGUUUUCAGUGCAUCCUUUCUUUCGGCCAUUUCAUGAUUGACUUCCUCCAGCUUAUUCAAGAUCCUUGACUCGGACUCCUUUGCUACCUCAAUUUGGGAUAUGGCAUCAGCCACCCGCAUUUUAGCCUGCUCUUCUGCCUCGUGGGCCCGCUUGCUAAGAUCGUAAUAUUCUUCUAAAGAAAGUGUUAUUCCGGUGGGUGAAUUCUCAGAUAAAUCACUCUCCUGCAAUGCAUUAAUAGCAACCCUUGCCAGCUUCUCUGAUGCCUUAGCUGCUUCUAUUUCCUUUAGAGCCGCUGAUAGUCUACUCUUAACAGUACUUGCUUCUGCUUUUGCUUGUUCUGCUUCCCCCUUUGCCCUCUGGAGUACUUCACGAGCCAUUUGGGCAAGUGCUCGUGCUCCAUCUACCUCUUGAGCAGCUUCUUGUAGUUGCUCGGGGAGUUCAACCAUCUUCUCUUUUUCUUCUUUCUCCAUCCCAACACGAGCCAUCUCUGACUUCAUCCUAUUCAGCUCGGCUUCAAGAGAUGCAACCACAAUCGAUGCCAUUCCUUCCCUCUGUUGAAUGGCAGCAAGUUCGGAUUUUUCUUUUUCCAGUUCCGACUUCAAUGCCAUGGAUGCCACGUUCAAGCAGCUAACUUCAGCUGCUGCUUUCUCAAUGCUGAGCUUCACUUCUCCAAGUUCCUUUUCUGCUGAAACAGCAGCCACUUGAACAUCAUCACGAGUUUUUUUCUCUGGUCUUACCAGUGCAUCUCUCAAGUUUCCUUCCUCAGUUUCCUGCUUUAUUUUCGAUUCCAUAUAAGCUGUCAAUUCAGCUUUUAAAUCCUCUAGUAACGUUGUUGCAGUAUCUAACUUCAAUUUGAGAUCUUUCGCCAACAAAAAACGUUCGUUUAGUUUCUCUAGCUCCUCCUCUGCUCUCUUCAAUUCCUUCUCCCAAUUCAGAGUGUUCUCUUCUUUUGCCAUAACUGCUCCAAUUCUGCAUUCCUCGGCCUCAAGAUGUGCUGCAUGUGCCGACUCCAAAGAUUCCUUUGCAGUAAUGAGCUCGACUGUCAAAACCUCGACCGACUUUUCAACUUCUUUUGACGCAGAAAUGGUUUCUUCUGCCUUCUUGACUGCAGCAUCUUUUUCAGCCACUAACAAUGCAUAAUUUUUCUGUAGUUGUUCCAAUUCAUCUUUAACAAUUUUAAGCUCAGACGCAGCAGCUGCAUGUCUUGCUCUGGAAACCUCGAGCUGUGCCUUGGCUGCAAAACUGGCUUCAUCAGCAAUCCCUUUCUCCAACUCUUCGACCCUUAGUUUUGCAAGUUCCGAAUCCUGUUUUGCUUCUUGUUCUUCUGUAAAUGCUCUUUCCAGAUUAAGUUUCAACUCUUCUACGAGUCUUUCAGUGCUAUCGAGCUCUUUUAAAACCUGAAAUUUUGCAUCUUCAGCAGCCUCGGAUUGUUUCUUGUACAACGGAAUCUCCUCCAGUGCCUUCUCCAGUUCUUGCUCUAUAAACUUUCGUCUCUGCAUGUGCAACAAGACCCACUUAUAAAACUAUAUUAUGAGGUUAUAAAACUAUAAACCCAGUUAAUAGCAACGUAAAGCAAGAUAAAUUAUCUGCAGGAAACAAAAGUGCGAACAUUAAGGAAGAUUAAAAUACAGUUGCAUAUUAGUUUAUAAACUUUCACCAAUUUAUGUUUCUUGAAAAACUGGAAGACAGUCAAAUAUCCGGAAAUUUGAGAAAAUAUAAGAUCCACAAUUUUGGAAUCCAACUCCCAUUUCAAUUAUGAACAUAAGAAAGAUAAUAAAACGUUAAGUGCAUGUUUCAUAGGAAGGUUUGGAUAUUACUAAACCAUUUAAGAAAAAAAGAAGCUAAAAUCCUGUUAAUUAUAAUGUCCAGUCCUAUCUAGUACCGGAUAUCAAACAUGUACUAAGAGAAUUGAAGAAGAUUAUACCUCCUUAGUCUGCACACGGUGGGCUUUCCAGUCAACAAUUCCCCCAAACUUUGAAACUGCAGACUUAACAGAAUCAAAAGGUGCCUUUGUAUCGAUUUGACCAUUCAUAACAGAGUUGUUAGGUUGUCUAGAGUGCUCAGUGCAUAUUGGCGUCUUAUCAAAAUACAUAGGAACUUUGGCAAUAAUUGGGUUAGGGGAUAAAAUGGUAGGUAUAUCGUCAUCUUCUGGAGAUAGCCGCGCAAUAAUUUUGGAUUCUAUAUUCCCUUGUUUAUUAGGCUUAAGAACAUACAAAUCCCCAGAUGGUGCAAUUGAGCCAUCAGAGGUAUCAUUUAGUUGAAUACUAGGACUAUUGAUGAUACCGCUAUCUAAUGAUUGCACUGUAGUGUCAUUGAGCUUUGCUUCCAUUAUACUUGACGAUUGAUCCUUGUCUGAAUGGGAAAAUACAGGUGCGACAGAAAACUCAAGAGGAACAUUGUCUUUAAAAUCUUUAGUUUCCUGCAUUCUGAUAAUAUCCUAAGCAGAGCCAAGUGACCUGGUCAAGGAACCAGAAAGAGUACAUAAAAAAUUAGCUGAAGUAAAAAAUGUAUUAUCUUUUAUCAUCCCUCAGAAGAAAAGUAUAAAAAUAAAAUUGUCUGAAUGGGAAAAUACAGGUGCGACAGAAAACUCAAGAGGAACAUUGUCUUUAAAAUCUUUAGUUUCCUGCAUUCUGAUAAUAUCCUAAGCAGAGCCAAGUGACCUGGUCAAGGAACCAGAAAGAGUACAUAAAAAAUUAGCUGAAGUAAAAAAUGUAUUAUCUUUUAUCAUCCCUCAGAAGAAAAGUAUAAAAAUAAAAUAAAGUAAGUGGAGUUGAUAACAGUGAUAAGAAAUAAAGAUCAACUAAAGGUAAUGUGAAUCAUCUUCUCUUUUUUCACGAAGUUAUAGAGUAACUAUUAGUGUAAAUGACAGAUUCCUGGUGAAAAGCAUUGAAACACAUGUAAGUCAGAAGCAUCAUGAUGAAUAGCAUCUAACUCCACCAAUAUAUGAAAAUUAUUCACGUCUCCUUGGAUUUUAGCUUCUAGAUAAAGUUAGCGGAGGCAGCAGAGCCAGCCUCCGAGCCGUUCAGUCUUAUUAUUAUUAUUAUUUUCCGUAUCAAACUCAGUUUAGUUCCAAAUUUUCUUCUAUUUAUAGAAGAAAAUCGUCCAUAGGGCUGGUCUGGCUUGUAAAGCCCAUGAGUCUACUACCCUGUGCUCGGCUUGGUUUGCUUGGCCAGAAUCUGAGCUUGGUUUAAUGUGAGCUCGAGCCGCCCACGGGCCAAACUCUCAUGAGCCUACCUGUGGUUCAAACUCAUUGACAUCCCUAAAUAACGUAGUUCAACAAAGUGUGUACUUUAUCCAAGUUGCGGAUAACUAGUAAUUGACAUCAAUGAGAAGCUUACUAAAAAUGUGAAUCAAGGUCCAAAAAUAAUAAUAAGAUGUCAUUAUCAAUCACCCCAUUCUACCUACAUAUGCAACCAGCAACAUCUUAAAAUUGAAUUCAUUUGACAACAUACGGAAAUUUAAUAAAAUCAAUUUAAUUUAACUGCUCUCCAAAAUACAAGCAGCCUAUGAAUUCAAGAAGCAGUAUACAGACAGAUGCAUCAGCUUCUCAAAUUUUUAUCCUUCCUCGAUUCUACCAUUAAACCACCUCAUUUAAAAUAUUAAUAUGUUAGAGAGGAAAAGAAAUUUGUAUACGCCUGAACUCCUUGAAAGUUUGAUUCAUUUUUCGUCAAGGACUAGCACAUCUACAACUUUAACAAAAGGGUAAUGGCAAGAUUUGAAUCUCGAACCUCAGCCUGGUUUGAAAUCUUAUUAAACCACGUCGUCUCCAAGUUUACGUGCUACAAAAUUAUUUAUCUAAAUCUUGUCUUCUAACAAAUCCCACCUCCAAAACACAACACUUGGGACAUCUGAAUUGAUGAUUUAUUUUACAUUUUUAUCCAAAUUUACAGAAUCUUAAUACAAUUGAAUGAACAUUCAUUUAAAAAUUCAAGAAAUCGAAAAUAAGAACAAAAACAACUUAAUUGAUCAAAUAUUGAAACAAUUACAAUAAUUCAAAGAUGAGAGAAAUGAAUGUACCAAAGAAUCAUCAGAAGCGAAAGAAUAUUAUGGGUUUCUACUAUUUCCCAGCUUCAUUCACUGCCCAAAAACAGAAAAUUAAAAUUCAAAAUACUAAUAAAGAAAUAUCAAUAUAUGCGUGUAAAUACAUAUUUCUGUAUACACGUACAUUCUUUGAUAAAUUCAUUGGCGUAACUUCGUUUCAGCUUUUGAGUUUAUAUUUCAAGGAUUGGCUUCUCUUUUUUGGGUCAAGAAUAUAUCUGAUUUUUCCAAUUUUUUCAAAAAAUAAAAAAUUGUGGUUCAUAACUUACAUGAAGCAGCGAUGUUGAAUUCAAUGGUUAGAAUGCAAAUGUGGGUGGCCUUUCCUUCAUCACAUUUUAGCGGGUAAAUUUCAUGCAAUGGUCACUGGACUUCCAGUCAAAUAUCAAUUGGGUCCCAAAACUUUAAAUUUGUUUUACAUUUCAGCACUUUGUUUCAUUCCAUCACCUAUUGUGCCUUAACCAAAGAAAUUUAUAUGGACGACAGAAAUACCGUGAUUGAUUUUCCACUUAACUAUCGUGUGACACUUGUGAAACAAAAAUAGUAAAACGAGUGUUAUUGCAAUAACUUUAAAAUAAAAAAGUAAAAAAUGCUAGUUUUUUUUGUUAUUUUAACUUUUUUAUGACAUGGUGUAGCGUCAUUAGACCUGGGCAAAAAAAAUCGAAAAAUCGAUCAUUCCAAUUCGACUCGGUCCGAUUUGACAUUUUUGUUUAAAUAAAAUCAUGGUGGUUUAGUCUGAUCAUGAUUUGAAGUCUCAACCCGUCGAUUAACCAAAUCAACUCAAUACACUUACAUAUUUACCUUUUUUUUUAAGAAAAAUAAAAAAUCAAACGAUAAGGUCUAAUCUCAUAACUAUAUCACGAUUCCCUUCAAUUUAUGAUACUGUCGGUAAGUAAUAGUACUGAAAAUUUUCUUUCACAAGCUCAUUAUAUUAUGCUUAGUCUUUUUUCCUACUCAAACAGUCAGGAUACAUAAUGUAUAAAAAGGCAACAAAAUUUUCAAGUUUUUUGUUGACCUGUCUCCUUAAUUCUCAUUAAUUGGUGUGAAGAAUAUGUAAUUGACACUCUUGAAUGAUCGAAUUUUUGUUCAAAUUAGCUAGCUGCAUAAAAUCGACUAGAAUUGUGAGAUUUUUGUUCGUUCAGGUUGUUUGAAUAAUUUCUCAUUGAAAGCACUCUGAAUUUGGGUUCAUCCUCUAAGCAUUUUUUAAAUUGGAUGCUGAAAAUGAAUUGGUCUCCAUUAAUUCAUCUUGUUAGAGAAUGCUCAAAAUGAUAUGCUGGUCAUUGUUUAAUUUUGUUUGGGUCUGAAAAUGAACUGAUAGUCGUAGUUGUGAUAGGACAUUAUUGAAUUAGCGUUGCAGACAUUAUUAUGUUGCUGAUUACAUUGUAUAAUUUCUGUACACAUCAACUGAGUACUUUUAAUUUCUGCAUGAAAUCUAUUCUAUAUUAUACAUUAUGGGUCGAUUUUGUUUGUUUGAUUUUAUAGGAUAAACUGAUAGGUGCAAGAGGGAAGGGAUCACCGAGCGAUAAAGUGUGUGAAGAACAUCAAAUGUUGUGAAGAUUUUGUCAAUUGAACAGAAUAGCUGAUUAAUAAUUGAACCGAAUGGCAGCUUCUUGGGGCUCAUUUGCUGUGAAGAUUUUGUCAAUUGAAAUUGGCAAAUUUUUGUUUUGUAUGUUAAAUGUCAGCAGAUAUUAGAGCCUUUCUUUUGAUUCACAAUUGGUGUCUUGUAAUGAGAGCGAAGUGUUGCAUGUUUGUAAAACUUUCUUUUGACAUCUCAUUUGGAGUCUAUAUGUUUUGUUAAUGUAUUUUAGAUGUCCUCCAAUGAAUUUUGUAGUCUUUUGUAAGUUUGUUGCUGGCUGUAAAUUUUAAACUUUUGACAAGGUAUUGUGAAUUGGGUGUAGGCCUUUUGAUGAUGGGAUAUCAAUGAAAUACACUGGUUUUUGUCCAUGGCAAUAUUCCUGUUAUUUAGAACUUCUAAGUUUGGUGCCGGCUGUACAUUUUAAACUUUUGACAGGACAAUUUUUGUAUACCCACAUUACCUGUCCAGUUGUUGAAAUCACAUGUAUUAGUGAAAGAUUUUUUGGGAUUUAUUUUGUAAUCAGAUUUAGGUAAGUAGCUUUAUUUUCUGGGGCGUGUUGGACGUCCAAGGCCUAGCCAAGAAGUUUUAUCCUUAUUUUCUGGGAGUCCACAGAAGAUAAAGUCGUGACAUGUAAAUGUGCAUCUUCCAUUGAAAAACUUAAAAAACUGCAAAGAAUUAUAUACUGUUCUAACAGCAAAAGGUUAACAUCCUUGUUCACAAAACAAAAACUACAAUAUACUUUAAAUCCCAUAUCCACAUUGAUGUUUACACAAUCAGUCCAUGCGUUGAUGUUUACAAAAUCAGUCCAUGCGUUGAUGUUUACAAAAUCAGUCCAUGCGAUCAUUUUCUUCAUUUUGUCUUCUGCCUGUGCAUGGAUCUUCCAACCAUCAGGGUAGGCAUGAACUGCAUGGGUUGUUCUUCAACUGGGUUUUGGGUCGAAGCAGGUCCCUUACCUCUGGAUGAGACCAGUUUACCCUGGAAUACAAACUAAAUGCAUUAGACCAUUAUACCCAACAUUAUAAAAAAUAAAAAAAUAAGCAAAGGUAAUGUAUAACUGGGCAUCCACUACAGUCUCUCAGUAAACAUAUCAUUGAUCAGUCAUGGAAAAGAAUAUCUGCUACAUCUAAAUGUUAAAAAUAAUAUUUCCACUUGGUUAAAUGUUAAUGGCAAGAUGUAAGAAUGAAAACCCAGAAAAUAAUAAAGUCACUUCAUUUUCAACUUCCAAUUUCAAUAAAUUCAAUAGAGUUGAAAAUGAAAGAUAAUCUCAGAAUUAUUUUUCGGUUGAAAAUGGCAGGAUCCAGUAUAAUAUUUGCUGCAGUAACUGAAUUAUUUUUCAGGCAUUGUAUAAUCUGGGAAUAACCAUUUACUACAGAACACCAUAUACACCAAGACACAACACCAAAACAUAUAUAAUAUGCUAAAAGUGUACCCAAACAGGGGCAGGAAAAAGAACUAGUUACCAAAGGUAUGUUUCAAAUUCAAUCCAAACAUGUUUUUGUAUAAAAAAAACAUUUACACUCAAUCAAGAUAGCAGUAUAAGCUUAAAGAGCAUGUUUGGAUACCAACAAUACAGAAUGAUUAUCAGUAGUAGCUCCCUUAGAGAUCAAAAUUCUCUGAAUAUAAUUCAAUAACAUUACAAAAAAGGGGGCCGGCUGUUCAAUGUAUUUCAUAUUGUUGUAUUUCAUAUGCUAGCAAUAGAUUGCCAAUCAACUUCAACUUCCAACAUAAAAAAUUGUUCAUUCUCAAACCAGGCAAUAAAUUCACAUUCAGACCAUUACAUGGAAGUUCAGGAUGUUAAUUCUUCACCUCUUUCGCAUUUUGAAAACUUUCACCUGCCAGUAUGUGGGUUCGUGUGCACAAUCAGUAUGUAGUUGCGAGGAAGACGAGGAUGACGAGACGACCUACGUCUAAUGUAACUGUGAAGGCGAUGAAGAUCUGCCAAUUUCACCAAGUGUGGAAGAAUCGAUUUGGGGGAGGAUUUUGAAGGAAAUCAAUCUAGGGCUGUGUGUUCAAAUUAGGGAUGAGAGACUUAUGGAUUGGGAAAUGGUGAAGAGGAUCUUGUUUUGGCUGUCAAAUCGCAUCCACCAUGGCCGAGCUUGACGCCGUCGACAACCACGUCGCCUGCCGUCAAGCCACAUGAGACGGGUUCAAACGGCUGGGGCAAUGGGUAAUGGAUAGAGUGGUGUGUUUGUAAGUUCAGUGACCGUUGAGCAGCAAAUGAAAGUUCAGUGACCACAUUAUGGCAUUGUGCUAAGUUUGAUGAUUAUUGAAACAUUUUACUCGUCACUUGACCCUCCAGCUUUUUCCUUUUUUUAUUUUUUUUUUGGCGGGCUUAUUAUGAAAUAUCAAACGAAAUUGAAAUAUUAUAUUUUUUUAUAUCAUUUUGACGUACUCACGGCCUAGUAUUUUACGUCGUGAAUGUUGUGCGAAAUGACCAAUGGUAGCAAAUGUUAUGGCGUGUCAAAAUAGGUUGUUCCAAACUAAAUAUUUUGAGAAUUUCGAUAACAAGCUAGUUUUAAAAAAAAUUCGACGAUUAUACGCUAGCCAUAUCCAUAAAUCUUCUAUAUUUUCUCGAAACUCAUUUCGAAAAUUAUAUCAUAAACACAUUGAAUGAUCUAAAUGAAUAUCGAAAAUAGUUAAACGUACGUCAAACGUGUAUGCUAAAAAGAGACGUAUAACUUGUCUUUUUUGAAAAAAAAUUAAUUAUUUCAUUAAUAUUUAUUAUUUUUGUGCGACAAAUUUCUCAAUAUAAUUUACAUCAUUUUAUUAGGAAAAUUCAUAUAGGUAUGACGUCAAAAUUUAUUUUUUUGGACGUAAAAAUUCUUAAUAAAAUUCUUUUUAAUUCACAGGAGUUUUAAAUUGUUAUACUACUUUUUCAUUUUGAUUAUUUUUAUAUCUGAAAAAAAUUUUAUAUAUAAAAAAAUUGAAUCAAUUUUAGGAUUUUUUUUUUUUAUUAUUGUUACAUUUUCCUUUCGAUUAAUUAAAUUUUUUUUCAAAUGACGUCAAAAAUUUAUUAGGAAAUUUAUUAGAUUAUUUUUUUAAAAAAAAAAUAAUUGAUUGAAAGCAAAAAGUAACAAUAAUAAAAAAUCCUAAAAAUGAUCGAAUUUUUUAUAUAUAUAUAAAUUUUUUAUAUGUAAAAAUAAUUAAGUUGAAAAAGUAGUAUAAGAGUUUAUAACCCACAUAAAGUAAUAAAAAAAUUUCGUCGCUUUUUCUAAAAAUUUGAUUGUGACCCUCUAAUGUAAAAUUUCUGCGUCCACCCCUAAUUCAAUUACUGGUUGAACCAUAUGUUGGAGAGGAAAAAACUUUUCUUUGUUCAACCAAUCUAAUAGUUGUUGAAUGCUAGACUUAUUAAUUUAUCUAGUAAACUACUAAGAGCUCAUAUAGUCCAUACCAAAUGUCGUUGUGACGAGGAAGACCAUACCAGGGGAAAUACCAAUCAAAGUCCACUUUGGGAGACUCACCUCGUACAUGAUACAUUCUUAUCAAAUUGAGCCCAUGGCUUCUUAUAAUGCCAUGAGGUGAUAAUGGUUGGGAGGCCCGCUUUUGACUUUAGAUGAAACUACGCCAAGACUUUUCGAGUUAUUUAGUAAGUUAUGCGACUUCUAGAGGUUGUGAAGGUGCAAAUUGACUUUCAUUUCAUUUUUGUCAAAUGGGAGGAUGUGAUGACAUGGACACUCCAUUGGCUUGAUCAUCAAGUCAAUCAUGGCAUUCACGUGGCUCUACAUGAGCUGCAAGUGUUCAUGAAAUGAUAUUAACAAUUCAAUCAUGCUAUAAGUAUAGAACAAACAAUACAUGGCGAGAAUUGAUUAAAGAUGGAAAAAGAAAAUAAAAAAACAAUCCAAACAUCUGUAAUCACCUGUACUCAUAACUUUUUCCAUUAACAAUUACGUGAAAGAAUGUUAAAAUACUUGCAUUAAUUUUUCUUCAAAUCUAUUUGAUUCAUCAUAUGCUAACAUUUUUAUUUUUAUUUAUUUUUAUUUAUUUUAUUAUUUUUUUUGCUUUUUAGGUAUACCUAAUUAAUUGGUUUGCUCAACUAAUACUUUUUGUUUUCAAUUCCUUUCAUUAUCAUUUCCAUUUCUCGCCUCCAACAAAUCAUUUAUCAUUUCUCCAAUUAAUGUUUUGCUUAGUUAUUGUCAACAUCUAUAGGCUAACUCUACCUGAAAGUAAAGCCAAAAUUCAGGCAGCUAAUAAUUAUUGAAUGCCAUAGAACUUGCGAAUUUACUCUUCCGGCAACUAUAUUCAAGCUUUAAAUUUAGGACAUUUACGUGCAAGUAAUUGAUACUUUAAUAACUAGAUUAGGCAUUGAUCUCAAUAUAUCUAAACUUUGGAAUUGAAACAGCAUAUCUUAUCUUGAUCGUUGGACAUAACAACACGAUUAAUAUAGGGCAUGUUCAUUAGGGAUUUUUUGACCGUUAGGAAAAAAGUGAGAUCCACUUGUGAGAAAAUAAGUCAAAAAUUAUAGCUGAAAUAAUGAAAUAAUGGUCAAAAAAUCAAUUUUUUUGGGUGAAAAAUCACUCCCAAACAGGGCCAUAAUGUUAAAGACAAAAUGUGAGGAUAAAAGUAUUUGAAUUUGAAAGAGAAUGAUGUCUAAUGCGCGUAAUAGCAUGUUUUAGUUUAAAUAUGUAUAGUAUAAUUUCUUCUACAUAUCCAUAUUUGAUUAUUUUAAUUAUAUCUGAGUUCUAAAGUCACUAUCUUGAUAUCAAUAUUUUUGUACUUUAAAAUUGUUUAGAUGUCAAGUCUUAAUUGUGGCUAUCCUUUCCGGUGCACAUAGUCGAGUGACUAGUCGAGUGACUAUCAAUCAAUAACUUCCAUUUCACACCUUCAAGUCUCGAGCUAAAUAUCACGAUUCCAUUAAGUUUGAUUUAACGAUAUAUAUUAAUAAGAAAAUCUUUCUCAAUAAGAAGUGUCGAUAAACAUCUCUUAUGUAUUAAAAAAAAAACAAAUUUCUAAAAUUAUAACACAUAAAUUAUGACAACAACAAAUCCCGUAUAAAUUUCUCUGUCCAAAACACUACGAACAACAUUAACAGGACGUCAAGAACAACGGAAAAGAAUCCGAAUUCAAAUAUAUCUUCUUGGAUCAGUAACAUUGAUUCUCCAAUGUUCAUCAUGUAAUCUCAUUUUUCUUGCUUUCAUCCUAUCCCAUUCCAAUUCAAUCUUCCUCUUCUUUGUUAAACCACAAAAUUCCUGCAAGCUUUGGUCCAUGAUAUCAUGCAGUUUCCACCACCGCACGUGCGCGACGUCACUGGCGUACACUUGCUGAAUUUGUAAGUCCCAAUUACAAUCAUAAUCCCUGUAACAUUGCCAUGGCUUUAACCCUAGAUAAUGUAUCGAAUAGAGCUUCGGAGGAUCCGACCCGAAUAGCUGGUUCUUCACACUGGCCUCGAUCGAACUGUUGGACCAGAAAUUUUUCAGAAAAUUGACUCUUCUCGGCAAUCGAUGCCACCAGACGAACACUUCGUUGAGAAAUCCCUGGUCGCCGCCGUUGUAGGAGAUGAUGUCUUUACGAUGUCGCAUCAACAUCUUGAAUGUGCAAUUCGAAGGCUCGAUCAACAUUAUACCCGAAUUGAAUAUGGAUCCAUCGUUCCCAGUGGCUGACAUUUGGGGGAAAUUGAAUACGAUAUCCAAAUUACGUAAUACAAUGAUAUCUGAAUCUAUGAAUAUGAUUUUAUCGUAAUCGGUGAGCUGCCAUAGACGGAACUUGCUGUAAUUGUAUUCGUUGUAGGUGUAUCUCUCGGCCUUUGGGUUUCGUAUCCGUUUGAUGAAUCGGAGCUUCCACCCGGCACGGGUAAGAGCGGCUCUUUUGGAUUCGGAUAUCGAUUUGUCAAGGAGGAGGAUUAGGUCGCGUUUGGUUCCGGUUCGGAGGAGACUUUGGGCUAAGAUUAUUGCACCACAAACGUAGGUUUCCGAGGAAUGGAGAAUCGAAGCAUAGGCUUCUCGUUUGUCAAUCCCUUUGUUGCGAGAUAUUUUGGAAACGUCGAAUAUUUUGUCGACACCUGCAAUAAAUAUUUCAGUCAUGUUAACAAGACUUGCAAAGGAAAUGACAUGUAAUUGUCAAUUGCAUCGAAGGGAUAUUCUUAACUAAUAACGGGAUUUUUAAUGAGUCAAACUUAUUUAAAAAUUUAAGUUGCUAAUAAAUGGAUAACAUAAGUUGACUUGACAUGCCUUUUGAUGGGUCAUUGGGUCUAAGUAUGUGUUUUCUUGGUUUUUCAUGUUAUAUUUUUAGGUAAAGAGAGAGAGAGAGAGCCGCUUGCAUAAAUAGAGAUGGUAACGGGAUUGAGCAAGAACCUUCUUGUCUUUUAACCAUCCUAGCUUAAGGGGAUGUAGGGCCCGAUCAGGAUAAACUAAGCUGAGUUGACCAAAAAUUGUUGACAGAAGUCUUGACGUGUGGGACCUACAUGAAAGAAAAAUUCCAAAAAAAGUAGCCUCCACCCCCUUAUUGUGACUAUUUGGUCAGGGAGACUGUCAACUCCUCCUUGUCUGUAUAGCAAAAUGAGGUCAAUAUAAAUAAGUCUCGCAUGCUCAAGGUGGGCCCAUGUCUCCCGUCCCUGACUUGGGGAGAAACCCCCUACUGCACUUCCGCCUCAAUAACGCCAUUAAUCAAGGAAACCCACUCCCCUAGGGUGGGACACCGUGGGGUUCCGAGUGGGUGGAUUUUUCCGUUCCUAGGCAUAGAUGGUCCACUUGGGCUUUAGAGCGAUGCUUGCCCCACAAGCUUUUUCAUCUCUACUUACUGGAUAUGAGAGAAAUUUAUAUUUAUGUUCUGUUUUUAGCACAAUAUGCACACUCUUUUUAUAUUAUAGUGCUUGUUUGGUAGAGAUUUUGAUAAUUGAUUUUUUGACUGUUAGAAAUAAAUUGGGUCCUAUCUAUGAGAGAAAAAUUCAAAAAUGACGAUUGAAAUAGUGAAAUAACGGUCAAAAAAUUGAUUUUAAUUAGAUUAAUAGCUAUACCAAACAAGCUCUUAACAAAAAUAUAACAUGUAUGAAUUUUAUAAAUGAGUGACGUUGAGACUUUAAUCAUUGGAGGCAUUAGGGAUGGGUUGUUUCUUUUAUGUUGUGUUUAUUACCCUGAUAUAUAAUCAUUUUGUCAUCAUCCGUCUAUGGUUGUACGACAGAUGAAAGGUGCAACUUACAUUUUUAGAAUAGUUAACAAAGGACCACAAGCACCAACCUUUGAAAUUAGCGAUUAAGAAACCAAAGAAGACUAGGUUUUUCCACCAAGCUUAUAAUAUUGAGUAGGAAUUAAUAAUGGAAUCACUUUCCUUCAGUUUUAAACUUACUGGGGUGUUGAAAAUGAGGAUGCUCAGAUGGACGUGGAAAUACUUACAUAUGUUAAAAACUCGAGAUAAUGGCGACUGAAGUGGUUAGGAUGUGUUUUGCGUAGAAGUAUAGGAGUUCUUAUACAUACAAGUGAUGUAAUCUCAGUAAAACAUGUUAGAAGAAUUGGUUAAGAGCGUACCUUUUCCCCAUAGUGGCAGAGCCAAAUCGCAGGAGCCAAUAGGCAAAGACACCUUCUGCUCCAAUUUCGCCAUAGAUGGCGUAUAAUACCACCAGAGCUCCCCUUCUCCUUCUCGUCUUACCAAAUCAUCACACCGAAACAGGUCGACCAUUGGCAUGCACUUGCUCAAAAACACAACUUUUGUCCUCUUUUGCCAAUCCCUUAUCCCUCUUUUCACAGCCAAAUUUGCUGCAAUCAAAUGUACUUGAAGCCUAAACACAUCCCUAUUCCACCCUUCUUCAGGAAUCUUGCAUGGCAAUUUAACGACUAUCAUGUCCAUAUAACCAUACUUGUCAAAAUCUGGCAUUGGAAUCAUAGGGCAUAAUGGACCUUCUAAAUCUUCUUCUUCAUCUAUCCAUUCUGGAAAUAAGUCCUUCCAUUCAAAGUAAUCAGACACUUUUUCGAAAAGGAUUGGUGUUGUAUGGCCAUAUGCUUUCCAUUCAGUUGUGUCUUCAUCCUCCAUGUUCACCAUUCCAAUCUUCAUAUUUUUGCCUCUCCCAAUUAUGUCAUUUAGAAAACUAGGUGUCUUCCUCUUGAUCAUCGUCUCUCGAAGAGUCUUCGGUUGAUUUGCAAGUGGCUCUUCCAAAACCGCUUUCAUUUUAAUGGUGUUUUCUGUCUAAAAAAAACCCAGAUUGGGAUAUAAGUCAGAAAUAGAACUAUUCAACUUAAUUCGUUCAUGAAACUUGAACAGAAAAAAAGAAAAGCCUAAUGGAUCUUUUUUCUUCUCUUCUUGGCUAGCUUUUUUGGGGGCGUUUACAAAAAGAAUAAGCCCUCGCAUUAAGCUGCCCGGCCCGUAGAAUGAGUCUUUCUAUCAAGGCGCAUUACCUACACAACGCGAAUUAUCUCACCUUACCUUCUGAUGGCACUCACGCAACGAGCAUGUAAUGAUAGACGUGGCGUGCUGGUGAUAUACCAAAACCGAUGGCCAAAGGAGAAGAACUGCAUAGGUGAUGAAAGCACAAGCUAUGAAAACCAGGUUAAUUUUGACAAUAAGAGCUCUUGAAGAAGGGGAUUUUAUCAUCCUCUUGAACAGCAUUGCAUAAGGAAAUAUACCCACAAAAGUAAACUCUAAGGUCCUAUGCAGCUAAUUUAUAUAUCUAUAGCUACUCUUUCAAGGUGUACAAAUUUAUGUAUAAGGGUAUUUUUCAAGCCAAGGGACUAGGAUGGUAUAUAUAUUGUUGUUAGAGCCCAGAGGCAUUUUUGGGGGGCUAAAGUUGCAAGAGAAAAAAUAUUUGAAGGAUUUAAGACCGCUUAAUGAGCUCCAAGUGUCACCAGCUACAUUGUCUUACCUUAAAGACAAAAGGGUUGGAGCAAGAGAGUUUACUUGUUGACAUAUGGGGCAGUUAGGAAUUUUAAGAGAAAUAUUUCUUGAAUUUCCAUUAAUAUCCUUCCCAAUUUCCAAGACUUGGAUGUGCAAAAACCUUUUUUAUGUUAUUUUUUUAAAAAUAUUUUGUCAAAACCAUAGUAGGUUACUACUAAUCAAGUAGUUUUUGUACAUACUUAGUUCCAAAAGUAUAAAGACAUGUUUCGUAUGACAGUUGAUGAAAAAGCUAAAAUCUUGUACGUUAUAUUAUUCAGUAUGCUAAAUAUGCACUGAUGCCUAAGGUUAUGUUUAGUACAUUCAUGUACAUGAUAAGAGUGAACAAGAUUAAGGAAAAGAGAUCUUGUGACGAAAUAUGUCAAUUGUGUAUUUCAAACAUAUUCCUUUAUCCAAUAUUUCUUACCAAAACAUAGUGUAAUAAAUUAUAGAAGAAGCAAGGGAGAAAAUGGUAAAUUUUGCUAUGCAAGAAAUGGUAGGAAUUGCUUGUAGAAAUCUUAGAAGGGAUUGACAAUAUUGCCAACAACUAUAUAGUUGUCCUGUCAACUUCAUUCAUGCAUAAGAGCCUCUACCAACUUUGGUUAUUUUAAAUCAAUUAAUAAUCAUCUAAUCUGAUCAUGUUUAAAUAAAGCAAUAUGUUUUUGUUGUGUCAGAUAAAUAGUCACACCAAACCAGAACUGUUGUAAUGUUUAGCACAAUUAACCAAACUCAUCAAAUUGUAUGUUACACAAUCACAUUAAUGCUAUGCUGUACUCAACAUCUAUUAUUUGAUGAUUUAAUUAAUUACCAUCACAAAUUGAGAAUGAAAGAUUAUGUUUUAGUAUCAACAUCUGGCUUUGAUUUGUCAUAUUGUUGGGAAUGGAUUAAUCUUAAAGCCAAGUUAAUUUGUACAGAUAUUAAUUGGUAGUUAAGCAAUACUUAAAUAGGUAUUGUUUGGAAUUUUAUUUUUAUUUUUAUUUUUAUUUUUUUUAUGCUUAUAAAUCGAUGGACGAUAAUUAAACUUUAUGAACAUCGCGUUUGUUUUUAAUAGACUAUACUAUUCUAUAUUUUAACAUCGUGUCAAUGGUCAAAAUGAAUUAAAUUAUGUUUUAGUUAAAAAUUGGAUUUAACAUGAUACAUGUGGAUGCUUGAAAUAUAUAAAUCAAAUUGCGCAACUAAGGAUAAGGAGAUUAGCGUGGUCGGACCCCUUCCGCUUCUCCUUAGUUGACUUUCGAGAAUUCAAUCGGAGAACAAGCAGUCUUGUUACUCUAAGCAUAGGGAAGAAGAUUUAUAUGUUGUUAUCAACUUCAAACGAAUGCUAAAUCAAUUUAAUUAAGAAAUGCAAAAAAGAUGAGGCAAGCUUGAGAAGAGGAGGGAACAAUCAAGAAAGAAGUUGUUACUCAAACAUAUAGAUUAUUUCAAGAUAAGUUAGACAUAAAUUAAAAUUGAGAGAAGCUGACUAACGCUCUGCCUUUGUUUCUCGUGCAUGAAUACUAUAAUUCGGUGGGAUAAAAUCAUAAAAUAUGAAACUCAAGCGAUUUGUUUAUGCAAAAUGCUUCUGCCCAUCAUAUUAAUACUAUAUAAUUAAUUUACAGAAAAGGGGCACACGGGCCUGCAAUCUAUAUAUUUUGUUACUUACUUAAUUUUAUUUUAGCUGUUUUUUCCUUUUUCAGCUAAAAUAAAUAUAGUUAAAGCUAGGGGAUAAUGCUUAAAUAUAAUUAUAUUUUCUUUGAUCUUUAAUUUUUGUAGUUGUAACCGUUAUCCAAUAUUAAGUUUAAAAUUUUUCUUAAUGCAAUUUAAGGGGAAAAAAAAAUUAAAGAAUGAAAAUUUUUCUUCUUCUCAAGAUUUUUGCAUAUAUGCAUAUAGAUGCUUAAUGAUAUAUUUAUAUUUAAUUAUUAAUUUAUUAAUCAUGUUUUUGCAUUGGAAUGUACUUUGUACAUCCUAAACAAUUCAUGUGCCAAUUAAAGUUACUUAUAAUAUGCUAUAAUUCAAUUAAACCUAGAAGACAUUAUAUGAUAUAUUUAUUUUAUAAUAAGCUUAUAACAUUGUAACUUGUCACUUUUAGGUAAAACCUACACUUUUCCUUGGAAACAUUUAAAACUUUUCUUUAAAAAAUGAAAUACAUUCAUUCUAUCUAAUUAUAAUUGGGUGGGUAAUUUUUUUUUUUUUUGCAUUUUUUUAUCAUCACAUGGGGCUCGUACAACGUUAGAUUUCUAGCCAAUUUCUGUUAAACAGUGUUCUGUACAUGCAGAAUUUUGGAUGAAUUUUUAUGUAUGAAUAUAAUUGUGGAUUAUUGCUAUGUGGUAAUUUAUGCCGUAAAAAACAAACGAACGAUUAAAUAAAUGAAAGGUUUAUAUUUAUUAAAUAUAAACUUAUUUGUUUUCAAUGUAGGAUUUUAUUUAAUUAUUUUAUUUUUUUUAUUUCAAGAUCUAUAAAUGUGAUGUAUCCUUUUUGUUUCCAAGUAAAAAAUGUUUUGUCCAUUUGAUCCUUCUAAAGCAAGAAAAUAGGUUGAUAAGUAAUUUCUGAAUUAUUUGAUUGUCACAUGGUUAAGAGACUAACAUCAUGAAAAUAUAAUAGAAACUUGAAAUAUUAAUUUAAGUUAAGAUGCUCUACUUGAAAGCAUCAUUUAAACUUAAUCUAUAUAUAUAUAUAUAUGGUGGUAGAACUUUCCUUAGUACGGAUACCAGUUUCUCUUUGAAAGUGUCUUCUAAGGUCGUUUUGAAAAUAAAAAUAUUCUUAAUCAUCGUUUGUAUAUGGUCCGAACCAUAAUUCUUCACAAAGUGGUCCAGGCCUAUCAAGCUGGCCCAACCUUAAGUAUGAAAUUUGUUCCUUCAAUUAUGUAUGUAAAAAUAUAAAUUGAAUUGAAUUUAAAUAGUAGGUAUAAGAAGAGAUAUAUUUCAUGAAUAAGACAAAACGUAUAUUCUCAGUUGAAAGUCGCUAACCACUGAAUCGAUCGAAUGACGUAAAUUACAAUGUAGAAUUCACAUAUGAAAUCCCUCAAAAUCAUCACACAUAACCAUCAAAAAUUGAACCAGACGUUAUCUUUUGAUACUAAAUAAAUGGUUCACAAGCUCGAAUCUGAUCAUCAUGCUCUAUUCUCAAAUCUUAGUCAUUGCAUAAAAGAAUACUUGAAAACUUGUAUCAUUAUGGUCAAGUCCCUGAACAUUAUAUUCCAUUUGGUGUGCUUUGGCAAAGUUGGAUUAUGUGAACAACCUUAUCAAAUGAUCCUAAAUUUCCUUAGAAUUGUGUACCAUUAGAGUGUUCAUCACAUUUGUAUAUCCAAGUCAUAAUUUUGACAUUGUUCAUGUCCAAAAUACGAAACAUUUCAGAAAAGUUUUCAUCUUUAGGAUCCUUAGGUUUGGUCUCAAAGGAAUUGCGUAAUUUCGCAUUAGUUUAUCCAUCAAAAAUUCUUCAUCACACAACUCCAAUAAGAAAUUUUUUUUCCAUCUAAUUUCAUAUUAAUAAACUUGAGCGUAUAAUCUUUUGCACCCACCAUCGUAAAAACUGAACCAACCACAUAAGAUUUCAUAUAAAUGCUAAAUCCCAAAUAGAAAUCAAAUCCAAAACUGAAACAAGUAUUUUUCAAUUACGUACGAAAAUUCAAACUGUCAAAUCUGAGAUUAAGGUAAGUAAUGAUAACAAUAUCAAAAGAUUAAGGUAAGUGAUGAUAACAAUAUCAAACAUCAAUUAGUGAUACUAUAGUUGGAUCCACUAGACCUAAUGCUAUCGACACCUCUUCCUUCACGCCAUAAAAUAAAGUUUUCAUAUUGAUCGAUGCUUUGAUACCUUGCGAAUCUUGAACAAAAGGAAACAAGAGAGAUGUAUGUAUUACAAGUUUUUGUUCAUGGUAGAAGCAUUGUGGUUGAUAGGUUUUUAUUAUCGAACAUAUUUUUAUGAUUAUUAAUGCAUAAACCAACCAACCAACCAACCCGACCCAACUUGACCAAAAUUUAACUGGAUUGGGUUGAAACACAUGAAUGAGUUGGAUGGGUUUGAUUUUAGAUCAAAUCGAUCGUGUUGGGUUGAAUAAAAAAUCGAUCUAAUCCAACCCACGAUCACUCCUAAUAGUGGUAGUAUUUGCAAGCCACAGAGGAAGAAGCAAGCAAUGGAGGAUUCUAGGUUUAAUCUCCAAGUAGAAGAAACGGCAGCCUCACUCUUGUAUGGUUUUCUCUCUUGCAAAAUAUGCCCUCGCGCGCACGGCUGUUGGAGGGAAGGGUAUAUAACAAGCCAAUUAGGUCGUUUCCAAUUCGGUCAAAGGUAAUAACUGGGCUAAAGACACAGCCAAGAUAAAUGGGCCAGCCUAAUACUACCAAUCCAAUCCGCAAAGUAUUAGGACACGAGAAACAUUAAAUUAAUUAAACUGCUUUUAGUAGUUCAAAUUAUUUUCGGGUCGAGUCAUCACUAAGCUGUCGAUAAAAAUUAGAGGAAGUUACAGCAAAGCCGGUGUUUAAAAAUCACAAUUCUAAAAUCAGGUGCAAGGUUUGAUAAUGCAUAAAUCAGGUACUAAACCCUAAAAUUAAAAUUCCCCUUUCCGUCUGUUAAGGGAAUAAAUCCUACAUCGAUUAAAUAUCGAAAUAUUGACCAACUUAAAUAGAUUUUGGGUCACUCCUCUUAAUAAGGUUGACUUUAUUAAGAUGGACCCCAAAUCUUAACAUGAUAUCAGAGUUCAGUAAACUCCAACGAGCUAUUCGAUCUGAUUAAGUCUCAAAAAUGAGCACACGAAUUUCAAAAUUGGUUUGCUCAAAAAGAGCCACCAUCUUACGGGGGCAUGUUAAGGGAAUAAAUCCCACAUCGGUUAAAUAUCGAAAUAUUGAUCAACUUAAAUAGAUUUUGGGUCACUCCUCUUAAUAAUGUUGAUUUUAUGAAGAUGGACCCCAAAUCUUAACACCAUCCUCUCAGUCUCUGUUUCUCAUUUUCUCUCUCACGUCUCUCAUAACCACAUGUGCUCUCUACCAUCUCCAUCAUCGGAGACCACCUCUACUGGUGAUGAAAAUUCUGAGCGCUGCUCACCUCGUCGCGACAGGCUUCGAUGCUGUGGCUGUUGCAAAAUUUGAGUGACGCUUGCCUCGUCGUGACGAGUUUCAGUGCUGCGACUGCUGCAAGUCGUCACAGCAUCGAUCUGAGGUGUUGAUGGUUUGGGGUGACGUGGUAGUGAUGUUGCAGUGUAGUGGUAGAGUGGUGGUUGUUGGUACUGGUGUUGCGGUGGUUGGGUGAGUGGUGUGGUUCUACGGUGCGGCGGUAUUUUACCCGUUCGUGGUGUUCCUCUGGCGUGAGUUAGGUAUGAUUUUUGUUGGUGGCGGUACUGCCAUAGUGGUGGAUCCGUCUAUAGUGGUGGGGAUUGUUGGAUCGGUGGUAGUGUGUGGUUUGUUGGUCAUGGUUGGUGGUUUCAGAUGGUGUGAUUAUGCAGGAGGCGGCGAGGUGGUGGUGGUGGUUACCUAAGACUAGUGUGAUCUUAAAAUUCGAUAAUUGUGACCAACAAAUUUGAAACAUGUAACUGAUAGAUAAUCUGUGACUUAUAAUUUUUUCAUCUAUGAUUAAUAAAAAAAAUUAUGACCUAUAAAUAUGUUUUUUUUUUUACCUUGGAAUAAUCUGUGAUUUACAAAUUUUUUUAUUUGUGAUCUCAAAGAAAUUUAUGACCAAUUAAUUUGAUGAUAUAUGACCAGUAAAUAAUUUUUUUGAUUUAUAAUUGUGGAUAUGUGACAAUUAAUUGUGUAAUUGUGACUUUUAUUAUAUUUAAUUAUUAAAUAUUUUUAAUUAAUUAGAUAAAAAACGUGAUUUUUGCAUAAUUAAACUUAACCACCUAAUUUUUGAAGUGUACAUACUUAAAACCUGGUUUGUGAAUUUUUCCCUAAAAAUUAUCCAACAUCGUUUUAAUAUUAUCAUCCAAAUUUAUUGGAUAUCAAAACCUAACAAUUGUCAUGUUUGAAACACACUAUAUGAAAUAAUGUUCAAUAGAUAAAAUUUAAGUUACUUUUCUUUUUAGUAUUGUUUAAUAAUGUGCAAUUCCCUUACCAAACAAGCACCAUAUAGUUUCCCCACUUAAACAUAUAUUCAUCAUAGUUAACAUGUAUUACACGUAUUUUUCAAUUCUUUUAAACAAAAAUUUGAUGACAAUUGUAUAUGAAAAAUUGAGACUUGAAGAUAACUCGAUACUCCGACGGGUGGACAAGGAAUUUAAAGAGAACGUCAUUGAUGCCUCUAGUUUGACCAUUGAUUUCUUUGAAUUGCCUUCUAUAAAAUGUGUAGAAGCACAUAAUUAUUUACAAGUUCUGCCAAAUAUGAAUCUUUUUCGCGCGGGUAGUUACUAACAAUUAAAAAGGGAUCAGACAAUUGUGUAAGGAACAAAUAUCUUGAAACAAAGUCCCAAAAAAGGGUGUUUUAUUAGCGAUGACUUUACAAUAGGAACUAAACAGAAUACCUCCAAAGGGCGCAAGCACACGAGUACUAAAAAGAAAUGUUUAAGUUUAAAUUAAGAAAUUGAAAUUACAUAUUCUCUGUUUGAAAGUGUUUGAUUCGGGGUCAUUUGCUCUAUGUCUUCUCUUCCUUUUAUAUUCCCUUAAUCAUUUUUUCGUGAUCAACCGCUUAGAAAUUGUUUGAUUGUUUUAUAACUACCCACUUCCUUUAUGGUGGCUAUCGUGUCGUGGAACUGCCGUCUUUAACUACUGCCACUACUUUUUGUCGUUCAAUCGUCUUCAACUGAACUCCUUGAAUCGUGGAACGUGAGGAGGUUACUUGAUAACUGCUUCAAUAACUGCACUUCUGGAUAACCAUAACAUCUUAUGUUUGCUAAGAUCUUGGGUGACUCGAAAGUUUGGGCGAGAACAGGGUCAUAGCUCUGGGCAACUGUAAGGCACUUCAUUCGCUCAGAUCUUGAGCGAUGGUGUUACCGUGUCCGUGGGCCUCCACUGCAUUCAUUAGUAACCAUAUUUGGGCCUUCAUCCUGAAUUUUCCAGUUGGGCUUCAUUCUUUGGGUUAUUUGAUUUGGGGAUUCCUUAAUUGGGCUUCAUUUCUUGGGUUAUUCGAUUUGGGUUGCACUUUUAGUGUGUCAACAAUUACCCCCCAAUAUGACAGAAUUAAUACCAAUUAUUAAUUUUUGCCAUAUUCACUUUGUGUUUCCCAGCAAUAUUUGAAAUUUCUAAGAAUUUUAAUCAUUAUCUUCUUCCAUAGCCUGAAAAUGCACGACGUUGCAAACCCUUAUAACCCCCAAAUACAUGCCAUUUCAUCGCACCACUAAAUCACGUCUCAUUGUUUCGCACUUCUCUCUCGCAAUAUUACUGUUCAUCUUCUUGCUUCUCUGCUACGUUUCUCAAACAAAUUUCAACAAAACUUUAUUUCGUUCCCAAUGACUGCAUCACAAACCUAAUCUGGUGACUCUUUCAGUUUUGAAGACUUCCAGAAAAUCCUCACUCGGCCAUAUAUAACUCCGAACUUCCUUGCACCAGCCAAUGCCGAACUCAAUGAGUUAUAUCUAAGUUCUUCAUUCAACAACGCUGAGGUCGUCGAACAAGUGGCGGUGGGCCAGCUAUUCUCUUGUACUCAAGGCCCUUCGUUUCUGAACUCUUUGCCGCUGAGGCCACUGAGCGAAAGAGGUAUUCGCACUUGGCCUAAAUCUGAUGUUAUUUUCCGUAGAUAGCAUGCUCGCCUUGUGGGCCAUGGUCCUACCAAGGUAAUUUUUAAUAGUGUUAGGAUUUCUAAUUUAUUAGAAAUCUCUCUUCAACCCCCUAUUUUUGAUCUAGCGCUUUUCCCUAUUGCUUUAAAUUUUUGGUCCUCUGAGUAUAAUACUUUUAUUUUCCCUCUUGAUCCCUUGUCCAUUACUCUAAGGGAUAUUGGGGCCCUAGUAAAUCUGCCACCUGUGGGCGAUACCAUUUUCCCUGGUAUUUUGAUUUCUAGUGUCGCCCCAAAAUUUGACAGAAAACUCACCAAGUCCUAUUCAAGCCUGCAAAGCUGUUAUAAUCACUCGAGCGUUGAGCUUUCCCAUGCAGAGCGUGUGGCCUUUCUUUAGAUUUGGCUUUGUAAAAUAUAUUAUGUGUGUACCAAGCAUGAAGCCUUCUAUGAGCUAUUUACCCAUAGCGCACGAAUUGGCGCGUGGUAGGCCUCUGAAUUUGUAUUCUUUCUUUUUGGCUGCCCUCUAUAGAGGCAUGGCUUCUCUUCAAUUCCAAUUGAAGAAUGGUGCAUCUGCCAUUGGCAGUGGGCCUCUUUGGUUCACUCAAAUGUGGUUGAGAGCCUAUUUUUCAUCACUUGGUUCUCUAUCCUUGUCCCUUCAUUCUGCUAGCUGCUAUAGGCUAGCUAUUGACCCACUGAGCCCUGUAAAUAUAUCUAGAAGGGACAUCUUUUCAUUCUUUUAUACUUUGAAUUCAAUUCCUUCUUUCUUUCCUUUUCCUCCCCCUUUAACUCCAGAUUAUGUGCAACCCCUAUCCACCCUGGACAGUGCAAGCACCUCUCUGCUCAUUUCGGUUCAGUUUUUGAUCGAGAGGGAGUUGUUCCAUGAUAUUUUGACUGGAACCAAUGCCAAAGCUGGGGUUGAAAUAUAUGUUCCCCAAUUUUUGCUCGUCAACUUGGUUUUGGCCAAACUUGACAUGUUUCCCCUUGUUAUUCAAGAAAUUUGAUAGAUCGCUUCCACACCAUUAAUAAGGCAGAGGCAGAAGCUAUAGAUGCUCGCAAUAUUCUUUUGACGAGUAACUUUUCAUUAGCCCCCUUCAAUCCUAGCCGUGCCAUCCAUCCCUUUUUUGAACGACUCUGGCCAUUAGUGAAGCGCAGAUUGUUUGCAACUGAUGCCAAUCGUGCUUUCCAUUCACUGGAUCAGCCAAACAUUUCUUCCACUUCUCCUGUUCUGGUCACCCCUGUGUCCAUUAGGAGUCCUUCCUCCCCUGCUCGUACUAAACAGUCUGUUCGUCCAUCUACUUCUCUUCUUACCAAGCCCACUGCAGCCAAGAGUGCCCCAAGCCGCAAACGGUCAGCCUUAACAUCUCCCAUUUUGGAGGAUAAUGAUAAUGAUGAUGACACUCCUCUCAUCGUUAGGAGAAAGGUAAUUAAAUUAGUUUACUCACAAGCAUACCUUUCUAUAUUUGAAACUUUUCUAUGUGCUGAUGGUUUAUUUGGAUUUCUCAGAAAAGUUCAGCCUCUCCUUUGAAGGCUUUGGUGUUGACAGCUCCUGCUCUAUCAUCCUCUGCUGAGGCUGCUUCAUCUAAACCAGCUGAUGAAGGGACUACGCUUAAAGAGAAACCUUCAGUCCCGAAAUCCUCAUCACAACCAAUGGAUGAGCCACCUUCUUCCCAGGGCGUCAACCCCCCAAACGUUGAACCAAAAGACAAUACAUUUUUUGAUGUUUUACCUUUGCUUGUGCUAUUGGUUUUUGAUUUGUUGCUUUUUGAGUUCUGCAGAUGCUCCCAUGGGUUUGCCCGUUGUGGAAAAGUCUUCUCGCCCAGACAAGGGGAAGUCCUCACAAGUGGUGGAGCCACAGGUGGUAGAUUUGGCUGGGGAUAUGCCACCUUCCAAGAUUACUGAUGAGGUAAUCUUUGUUUCACUUUUACUUCCACUUUGUUUAUUGUAGUGAAAACCUUCAAUGUUGGCAAUUUUCCUUACAGGAUGCUAAUAAGAUUGUGCGUUCUAUCCAGGACUUGUUCACUUCUUGGGGGCAAGUAAAGACGUCUUGCCCUGCUUCAACCGGUCGUCCUUCUGCUUCUUCAGAGGAAGAUAUGAAGUUCCUCAAGCAGUCGAUAUUUGAGUAUGUGUCCUUUAUGGAUAUGGACAUCGGUCAGGCUAGUGCUGCCAAACAUAAGGAUAAGCUUGAGCAUUUGAGUGAGAAGUUGGCGCAAGCACUGACACUUUCGUCGCUCAAUCUUUCUGCUAAUUUUAAAGCGAUGUCGAAAGUUGUCCAUUCCGAGGUUCUCUCCUUGCUGGCCAAAAAUGUUGAAAUGAAGGCCAAUAAUACUCAAUAUCUUCGCGUUGUAUUUGAAAGAGAGUCUUUGCUUCUGGAGAUCAACAAAGCUGAGGACGAAUUGAAAGAAAUCUCUUCCGAAGUUACGAUUGAAGACUCUUCAAUGACCAGUUUGGCUGUACAGAUGAAAGAGCUUCAAGCAAGGAUGGACGACUGCAAGGCUAGAAUGGCUGCUUAAAAAUGUAAUGUCUCCCAAAGAAUUGAGCGAACCAAGUCUUUGGUCGAGUAGUACAAGAAGUUGGAAGUUUAUGAUGAUUCUGUAGCUGAAUUGGAUAUCACUUCUUCUCGGUAGAGCGAAGAUUGGGGGAGACUUAGGGAAAGAAUUCGUUCGGUCUGGGCCGAAUUGUAAUUAAGACAUAUAACGCCUUAACUUUUCUUUUUGUAAAUUCGUAUUAACUUUCCCCUUUUAACCUCGUACUGAUGUCCAUUGGUAAUUCUGAACGUACCAGUAGCCAAUAUCAUUAAUGAACGAUUAAUUUGUCUUCUUGUGUAUUUAUUGACGUCGUCUUUAAUCGUCAACCCCCAAGCAUUUAACUGCUUUAUGCUAAAAUUCACGCAUUUUCUCUUAGUAUUUCUAUCUCUUUUCCCAAGACUUCGGGCCAUUUAAUUCCAAUUACUAGGCACGAAUUUGGCUGUUCAUAUUCUGUCUCUUCACCUUCACGCCCCUAUAAAUGCACUUAUAUUCCACACUUGUUAUUUUCAUUUCCAUUCUCUUCUUCAAAAUCAAUUUGCUGCCAUUGUUUGGCAUUUUGACAAUCGAUCCAAAACCUUCGUCUUCCAUGAAAAUGGAUCAUUUGAUCUGCCCAUUUUGCCAUCUUUUUUUAUGUCACCUUUGGUAUGGGAAAUAUAGGAAAUAUUCUUUGGCCAGCGAAGUUCUUCCCAUCAUCUUCAUGUUCCUUACAAGGAGUUCGAUGAUGUAAGACAAUUUUUGAGGAUGCUUGCAAGCCACCUUGCUUGCUAGAGUGCUUCUCAGCCUCCUUGUCCAUUAUUGCAGCGAUGCAUUUAAGAAGGCGAUGUGAGGGUGUUUCUUCUUCCCUUCUGCUUGCUGAUAGUGCUUCUCGGCCUCUCUGCUUGCCUUUGCAGCAGUGCGAUCAGGAUAGCAAUCAAGGCCAGUUCACCCUCUUGCUUGGCGAUCGACCUAGAAAUUAGUUUGCUCUCAAUUGUAACUUAUAAAGCAUUUAAUAUUUUGUAUUUUGCAACUUUGUAAUGAACGUUUGAUAACAAAGGAAUUUAUUUGAGCGUAUUUCGCUCUGGCCCUUUUUUAUUUACGAUCGUUCAACGCGAUUUGAUUACGCUUUUAUUUGUUCACUUUUCCAUAAGGAAGGAACAUAUUUUUUCAAAUAUCUGCCAUUAAUGAACCUCAUGUGCUUGGUGCCAUCUAAAUCUUCCAAAUGAUAGGCUCUAUUAGGCAACACACUAUUUACUUUAUAUGGUCCUUCCCAAUUGGGCGACCACUUGCCAUACUUUGGAUCUUUGCUAUCCAAAGGGAGUAUUGUUUUCCAAACCAAUUUGCCCAAGUUGAACGACUUGACUAUAACUUUUUUAUUAUAAAACUUAGUCAUCCUUCGUUUUUGAACUUGCAAUCUAUCUAGGACGUUCAACUUUAAUUCGUCUAACUCCAAUAAGUUUUGAACUAGUGAUUCGGUAUACUCAUCAUCACUUAACUUAUGUUGCAAACACACUCUGAUCGAUUGCACGUUGAUUUCCAUAGGCAAAAUUGCCUUCUGUCCAUAAGUAAGUUGGAAAUGAGUAAUUUUGGUACUUGACCGAAGUGACGUCCUAUAAGCCCAUAAGGUCUUGUUAAGACAUUCGUGCCAAUUUUUGACAUUUUCAUCUAUCAUUUUUCUUAUAAUAUUUUUUAGAAUCUUAUUAGAAGAUUCUGCUUGUCCGUUAGAUUGAGCGUAAUAUGGUGUGGAGUUUACUGAUUUAACUCCAAACUCGCUCAAGAAUUCAUUCACUUGAUCUCCAUUUAAAGAAGUUUCGUUAUCUACCAUCAAAGUUUGUAGAAUUCCAAAUCUAUAAAUAAUAUGAUCACGGAUAAAUUCUAUGACAUUCUUUUGGAUGAUCUCCUUUAAAGGUAUCGCUUCUACCCAUUUAGUGAAAUAAUCAGUUGCAACUAUAACAAAUGUAUGUUGCUUGGACGAUGGGGGAUGAAUCUUCCAUAUCAGGUCUAUCGCCCAACCCUUAAACGACCAAGGUUUGAUAAUAGGUGCCAUCUCUCUUGCUGCCGUCCUUUGUAUUGGACCAUUCUUUUGGCAUGCUAGACAACUCUUUGCAUACUGAACGCAUGAUUUUCCCAUCUUUGGCCAAAAAUAUCCAUUCCUAAUAAUUAACCAUCUCAUCCUUUGGCCAGCUUGAUGAGCUCCACAUAUCCCUUCAUGCAGUUCAGCCAUGAUCGUUCUGACUUCUUGCAAACUUACACAUUUUAGCAAUAUACCAUCAAAACGUUUCUUAAACAACUCUUCAUCUAUCAGUGUAUAGUUUACCAAACGCAAUUUCAUUUUUUUACUAUUUCCUUUAUUAGGUUCUUUAAGGAACCUUUUAAUCUCUACCCUCCAAUCUAUCGCAUCUCCAUCUUAUAAGCAAUGAAUUUCAAUCGUUCUCGCCCUUCUUUGGACCACGGGCAAUAUUGUUCCAUACUCAUAAGUAGACUUCCAAUUUAAAACCUUCGAGUACCCUGAGGCCAUCUGGGCCAACUCAUUUGCAACGUCAUUAUAUAUCCUAUUAACGCAUUGAAGCUCUACUUGGUCGAAUUCUUCCAUCAACUCUUGGGCGAUUUCAUAUAGACUUAUAAUGGAAUCACUUUGACACUUAAAAUCACCAAUCAAUUUAUGAAUGACCAAUUGAGAAUCGCAUCUAACGAUCACAUUCUUUACUUUCAUAUCUAUCAUUAAUUCUAGGCCCACGAUUAAGGCUUUAUAUUCGGCUCGAUUGUUGGUGCACAUCCUAUCCAAAGUGAAUGAGAACUUGUAGCAAAUCCCUAAAGGAUUUAUCAAUGCUACUCCUAAUCCUGUACCUUUAGAGGUUUUUGACCCAUCAAAAUACAAAACCCAAGGUUUUACUUCGAAUGAAUUGAUUUCUAAUUCAAUUUCUUCAGGCAUAUCAAGGCAUGGAUGAUCGGCCAGAAAAUUAGCCAAAGCUUAUUUUUUAUUGCCUUUUGGGGUACAUAUUGUAUUUCGAAUUUUGAUAAUGCUAAUGUCCAAAGGCCUACCCUUUGGUGUAAAAUAGGACGAGAGAAUAUAUACUUAACCAAAUUUACUUUGAAAAUCAAAUAAACGGUUACGGGCCGUAAAUAAGCCCUUAAUGUUGUACAUGUGAAAUACAAUGCAAGACAUAAUUUUUCAAUGGUAGAGUAAUUACAUUCACAUUUUGUUAACCGUCUACUCAAGUAGUAAAUUGCCCUUUCUUCACCAAAUUGGUCUUCUUGCGCGACCAUUCCAGCUAUUGAUUCUUUUUCAGUUGAUACAUACACUUUCAUUGGCCGUCCUUGGAUUGAUGACACCAACACUGGUGGAUUUGAUAAAUAUGUCUUUAGGCUUUCGAAAGCCUUUUGAUGCUCUUCUUUCCAGACGAACUCGUCCUGAUUUUUCAACUUUAAAAGCGGUGAAAAAGCUUUAGUUCGCCCUGCACAGUUAGAAAUAAAGCGUCUUAAAAAGUUUACUUGGCCUAGAAACCUUUGCAAUUCUUUUUUGUUGUUAGGUGGUUUGACCUCUAAAAUUGUCUUCGCUUUAUUUUUAUCAAGUUCAAUCCCCCUUUUUUGUACUAAGAAACCAAGGAAGUUUCCUGCAUUAACACCAAAUGCACAUUUCAAGGGAUUCAAUUUUAGCUUAUAUUGUUUCAUUCGUUCAAAUGAACAUCUCAAUUGUUCAAAAUGAUCUUCUUUUUUAAUGAAUUUGACCACUAUAUCAUCUACAUACACCUCGACAAACUUGCCUAUCAUAUCAUGAAAAAUCAGGUUCAUCGCCCUUUGAUAAGUUGCUCCUGCAUUUUUCAGGUCGAAAGGCAUAACUACCCAUUCAAAACAUCAUAGAGACCUAGGGCAUCUAAAGGCAAUUUUGUGUAUAUCUUCCUUAACUAUAUAAAUUUGAUUGUAUCCUGAAUACCCAUCCAUGAAGGAAUACAUUACGUGUCCGACAGUUGAGUCUACUAGAGAGCCUACUGUGGACAUUGGAUAUCCAUCUUUGGGUGUGGCUAUGUUUAAAUUCUUAAAGUCUAUGUACACCCUUAAUUUACCAUUCUUUUUUAGCAUUGGCACGAUAUUGGACAACCAAUUCACAUAUCUGGUUGUUCUAAUAAAGCUUGCCUUUAAUAAUCGCUCUAUUUCUUUCUUGAUCUCAGGAAGUACAUUAGGAGUAAAACGCCUAGAAGGUUGCUUAUGAGACUUAAAAUUUAGCUUGGUUGGCAAUCUAUGUUCCACCAAAUCUCUAUCUAAACCAGGCAUAUGUUCAUAUUCCCAAGCAAAACAAUCUUUAUAUUCCUAUAAUAAAGCGAUUAAUUAUCACUAACCUCUUGAUCGAGCAUUUGGCUGAUGAAUAUUGAGCGAUCUUCUCCUUCAUUGCCAAUAUUCACUUUAAUCAGAGGGUCUUGUGCUUGAGCGUAUCUAGGCUUGGCGAUCUUCAUCACUUCAUCGUCCAAUUCCCUUGUAAGCACUUCUUCUUCUAAACAAUCCACUUUGUUGACUUCUCGGCCAAUAUUUUGUUCCAACUCGAACACUGUCAAUUUGUCUCUCAAUGCUUUCAAGGCUGCUUCUUCUUUCGUCUUGUCCUUACAUUCUUUACUGAAAGCCAUUAAUUUCGCUUUGAAGGCCUGAAUAUCGACCAUUUGCCUUUGUUGCUUACAACUCAUUUAAAACUCUUUGAUUACCCUUUUGCCAAUUACUGGCUCUUCUAGGGCCACUAUGUUUGGCCUCAUCUGACUGAACAUUUCAUUGGGUGCAUCCAUCGAAAACGGCUCCUCACUCUGCGCGACAAUUUGAGUUUCUUCUCCAUCUUGGACUACUCUGACAGGUCCAUAAUUUCCUUCAUACAUGAACAUUUCUACUGAGUUUGCUUCUGCGACAAAAGGUCUAUGAUCGGCCUACACCACUUCUGCUUCGCCUUUGUCAUUCCAAAAAACCAGGCAUUGAUAGAGCGAUGAAGGUAUACAGCAACUUUCGUGUAUCCAAUCCCUUCCUAAUAACACAUUGUAACUAGUAGGACCAUCUAUUACAAAGAAGACUGUGGUCCUAGUAGUUGUUCCUAUAGUUAUGUCCAAUGGCAUAACCCCUUUAGCUGAAGUUGCUCCUCCAUUGAAACUCGUAAGGACGACUUCUGUUGGGAUCAUAUCGCUUUCUGUCUUUGCAAAUUUUCUCAUCAUUCUAGAUGGGAUGGUGUUUAUAGCUGCUCCAUUAACGACAAGCACUUUUGCCACAGGUACGCCGUUAACUAGAGCUUUAACGUACAAUGGCCUCAAGUGUUUAGUUAACUUCAUGGCUGGUCGCUUAAAAAUAACCUUUACGGCAGCAUCUAUUUCCACUUCCUGCUUGUCCUCUGUUGAGUUAUCCUUUUGUGAUAAGUCAACGUGCAGCAUGUCACACUGAGCUUUCAUUUCCUGAAUUUUCUUUUUACUGUUUUCUACUGCUUCUUCUUUGGUUACCCAACCUGUGGGAGGAGGCAUUAUUCUUGGAGGUGAUCCAUAUUUUUCAGAGCGAGGAACUCUCUUUUUCUUUUUGGACGUCCCGUACAGCACGUAAUAAUCGAAAGAACGCGCAGACGGUUUCCCUAACAGGUCCACUUCACGAACCCCCUCUCAAUGUAGUUGCUUCAACAGAGUAUUCUACGAUACUCCUCUUUUUCUUCUUUCUGCUUCCAAAUCAAUUUCCUCUUCGAUAUCCAUCAUACCAUCAUCUCCUUCAUCAUCGUAGGCCCCUCUAGAAGUUUAGCCUUCUUCAUAUUCUAGCACGCACGCUUCGUCUUCGUUAUCCUCCCCCUCUUCUUCUUCUUUCUCUUUAUUCUUGAAUUCAUUGGCCAGCAAAUAGUUAUUAGCCAUGACAGGAGGUAACGUAUCGAACUGAAUAGUAAGGAACUGAUCUGGAUCUUCUCCAUCUCUUCUGUCUCGCUCAAACUUCGACCUCACAGAAGAAUUUUCUGGCAAUUCUUUCAUCGAUUCGCCUGUACCGGUCUCCUCACUGUCUUCGAGAAUAUUUUGAUUGGCCACCUCGAGUAGCUUAGGCGCCUUAGGACGUGGUACUCCCUGUUGUUGCCUCAUCAUUCGUCCAUAGUUUCGUUGAAAACACCUUUGUUGGGUUCUAGUCAUCUCGUUGAAGGGUAUCGUUCUUCCUGCAUUAUACUGAAACGAAUGCCAUACAUUUGGUUGGCGAGGCUGCGACCUAAAUGUUCUUCCAUUAUUCACUGACCUGAACUGCCUCUCAAAAGGCGAUCCCCUAUAGAACGAUGUACCUCACCCUCCACCAGGCUAAGCGUUUGGGAAAAAACUAGGGCGACGGUGAUGCUGCUAUAUUCUUGUUUUUCUGUAUUCCCACUCACUUCUCUUUUACAUCUUGCACAUAGGACGUCUUCAUCCUUUUCAGACUCUUUCCCUUUGAUACGUUCAAAGACACUGGGAUGUGGUCCAGGGUCCUCUUCCCCGUCAUCUAUAACUAACUUGAAUUUUGACAACUUUUUUUUAAACCAGUCGUCACCAUGUUCACACCAAGUGGCUGUGGAAAAGGGUUUUCAUCCACUGUCAUCUUUCUCUUAUCCUUGAACGUAAUUCAUCCUGAUUCAAUGACAUCCUGUAACACAUGGCGAAAAACCAAACAGUUAUUAGUUAAAUGUGACCAUGCAUUCUGCCACUUACAAUAUUUUUUACCCUUAACUUGUUCAAGGCUUGGCAAUUUAUGUUUAUCGCUCAACUUUAUCUGCUUAUCCUUAUAUAGUUUAUCAAAUAUAAGGUCAGCUUUGGUUACAUCGAACGAGAACGUUCUAACCUUUUUGUUUUCAUCUUUUAUAGGCUCAUCUUUACCCGACGGUCUAGGCUUAGCCAUUAUAGGACAAGUAUACGUGUCUCUUUUGAUUAAUCCGGCCAAACACAUUUCGAUUUGAUCGUAAUACUCAUCAUUAAUGGUAUGAACAUCAAAAUUUGGGUCUCUAUAAUAAGUCCUCUUGCUAGAAUUUUUCAUUUGCUCUUCUUCUCUUAUUAAUCAUUCAUACAUAAUCACGUUCGCGCUCAAUUGAAAAAGAUCAGGAAAUUCCUUGUCUUGGAACUUUUUUUUCAAAUCAAAGUUUAGACAACCUUGAGCGAUUUUGACAAACUCCUUUUCGGGUAAAGGUACAAAACAUUUACUUCUUGCUGUCUUGAACCAUUGAAGGAAACCUUCUGCCUAUUCGUUUGGCAUUUGACGUAGAUUCGUCAAAUCGGUCAAAGUAACUUCGGACUCAGUCUUAUAAAACUGAGCGUGGAACAAUUGCUCCAAUUGUUGCCAUGUUUGAACAGAGUUCGUUGGCAAAUUGAUGAACCAGGAGAAAUCUACUCUUGUUAAUGAACUAGGGAACAACUUCAUUUUAUAGUAAUCAGUUACGUCACCACUUUGUAGUGUGAAUCGCCCUAUGUGUUUUAGAGUAGACACCUCUCCUAAGCCGGUAAAUAGUGAGAAUUCUGGCAUUUUAUACCCUCUAGGCCAUGGAUAUGCUUGGUCUACCUAAUCAGGAUAUGACUUUGUGUAAGUCGACCUAGUGACGGGAUGUACCCCAAAAGCCAUUUGAUCCUGUACUAUUUCCAUAAUUUGAUUCCUCAACAUGACGUUGGGGUCAUAUGGAAUUCCUACAGGUUGGUUGACCGGUUGAUUUGCUUGAUUGCCUGAUAUUUAGUCCUUGGUUGGUAACAAAGUUGCCAUGAUUUGGGUCAUUGUUACCAUUAGCCUGAAUAUUUAUUCCAUCAUUAACACGUGGGGUAUUCUGUCCAUUAUUUAGGACAUUGUCUCUUACGUUUAGGUUACCCCCGAAGUUAGAUGUACCAUUGCCAUUAUUCUGAUUUGGCAUUACACCAUCCCCCUGGUUUGAAGUAGAAGGACCAAAAGGUGGUUCUCCCCUUUGAUUUGGACUUAGGACUGGGGGAUUAUGUCCCACAAUUAUCCUAGCUUGGAAGUGAUUUGCAAGGGGCACAACUGGCUGACAAAUUUGGCCUACUAACUUAUUCAUUAUUUCAUUCAAAGUAUUCAAUUGUUUGGCCAUGUUGUCAUAAUGUGCAUUCCCAUUCUGAGUAAAUCUUUCCAUAUUAUGAAUAUUUCGUAGAUUUAUCUGUUCAACGACUUCCUGUGUGAGUUCUCCAAGUAAUGCACGCAUAGUUCGAAGACUCAAAUCUGUCAUUGGUUCGUAACGACUAUGGCUGCUUUGAUUCUAUCCAUCUGUUCGUGGAGAGCUAUGCUGCUCCUUAUAUCGCUCGAUCACAGACUAGACUCCUCCUUGACUUGCUUCCUUUUUAGAUUUUUGAGGCAUAUUGUUUCACCUUUUGUAUCUUCAACACCAAACACCACUGUCCCACCGGACGUGCCAAAUUGUUUCGCGCGGGUAGUCGCUAACAAUUAAAAAGGGAUCAGACGAUUGUGUAAGGAACAAACCUCUUGAAAAAAGUUUCAAAAAGGGGUGUUUUAUUGGCGAUGACUUUACAAUUGGAACUAAACAGAAUGCCUCCAAGGGGCGCAAGCACACGAGUACUAAAAAGAAAUGUUUAAGUCUAAACUAAGAAAUUGAAAUUACAUAUUCUCUAUUUAAGAGUGUUUGAUUCGGAGUCAUUUGUUCUAUGUUUUCUCUUCCUUUUAUAUUCCCUUGAUAAUUUCUUCGUGAUCAACCGCUUAGAAAUUGCUUGAUUGUUUUAUAACUACCCACUUCCUUUAUGGUGGCUAUCGUGUCGUGGAACUGCCGUCUUUAACUCUUGCCACUACUUUUUAUCGUUCAAUCGUCUUCAACUGAACUCCUUGAAUCGUGGAACGUGAUGAGGUUACUUGAUAACUGCUUCAAUAACUGCACUUCUGGAUAACCAUAACAUCUUAUGUUUGCUAAGAUCCUGGGCGAUUCAAAGGUUUGGGCGAGAACGGGAUCAUAGCUCUGGGCAACUGUAAGGCACUUCAUUCGCUCAGAUCAUAAGCGAUGAUGUUACCGUGUUCGUGAGUCUCCACUGCAUUCAUUAGUAACUCUAUUUGGGCCUUCAUCCUGAAUUUCCUAGUUGGGCUUCAUUCUUUAGGUUAUUUGACUUGGGGAUUCCUUAAUUAGGUUUCAUUCCUUGGAUUAUUCAAUUUGGGCUGCACUUUUAUUGUGUCAACAGAAUCUAACAUACUUCAAAUAUUUGACGAUUAUUAAAUACUUUUCCUUAAUGUAUGCAUUUGUGUGUCUAGUACAUAAAUAAUUUGCUAUAUGAAUCUAAUUAUUUAAAACACAUGUAUCACUAUAAUACAAUAGAUGAAUAUCUUCUAAAUUAUCCAAAUAUAUGAAUGUAAGUUGCAUUUUAUUUAUUUUCCAACAAAAUUAGUUCAGUGAAUGUAUGGAUACUUUAAUCAAAACUAAAAAUGGCGCAAUUGAUUAGUUCUGGUAAAGCUUUUUGUAAGUGAGUGGUUAUUUUUCCACCUCAUUUUCUUUUCUUAUAAAUGCAUCACAUUUAAACUGCUUUAAGAGUGUGUUUGAUUGACAUGGAAAAUAUCACCUAGAAAAGAAAAUAUUUUCCAUCUUUUGUAGAAAAUAAAAACCACCUCUUUCCAAGGAAAAUAUUUUCCUUAAAAACAAGGAAAAUUAGGCAUAUUUUCAAAAGUUGGAAAAUGUUUUCCAUGGAAAAAAAUAGCAAUCAAACACUCCAAGUGAAAAUUUGGAUGGAAAACUGAUAUUUUUCAUGGAAAAUAAAUGUAAUCAGACACACUCUAAGAGUUCUUAAUCUUUAUUCAUUGUUAGGUUUAAGUCCUUGGCCUUUUCUCCAUCAAAUUGUUAUUCUUAAUCUUUCAUUAAUAGACAUUUUUAUUCAUAUGCAUUAUGUGGUCAUGGGUAGAAGGAUUGAUAUCAUCUUUACUAUAGUUGACAGUCAACUCCUAUGCCUGGCUUCCUUCCUCACAGAAGACUUGCUACCGUUGCCUUGAAUAAAAGUCAUUUCUCUGUCUCUAAUGACGUACGUUUUCGUCCAAAAGUGUGCACAUUUUUUUUUUUUUUUUGUUUACUUAAAAAUACGAAAAAUGAAUAGGUUCUUUACUCUCUCUUAAUAGAAUUUUUUGGAUAAAAAUGAAAAAUUGUCAUUAGUGACAAAAUGUGCUAAUUAAUAGGUCAGAGAUAAGAAUACUAGCCCCGUUUGGUACACAUUAAUGUAAAAAUGAGAAUAAAAAAUAUAGCCGUUACGGACCCCACAUAAGAGAUAGAAAGUAAAAAAUUGUGGCUUGAUGUGAUUAGGGAUAGCAAUAAAAUCCGUCCCGCCCCGAACGGGUUGGUGGGGCGGCGCGGGGCAUGGUGGGGCGGGGCAGGGCGAAGUGAAAAAAAAAAAAGAUUAAAAAUAAUUUUAUUUCUAAACAAUUCACCCGUUAAAAAUUAAUUUUGAAUUUGUAUUUCAUUCUCUAAUAAUAAUAUAAUUCGAAACUUUGAAAAUGUAAAAAAAAUAAAAAAAAAUUAAACGGGGCAAAAAGUUGCCCCGUCCCUAAUGGGACGGGGACGCCCUACUCCAAACUCGCCCGUUGCCAUCAUUAAAUGUGAUGGAUAAUGAUCAUAUUUUUUAUUUUAAUGGGAAGCAAACGGGGGCUAUAAAAAAGUUAGGAACAUAAAAUUGUUUGGAUCUUUAUUAAAAAGUUAAUAAAAAGGCUUUAUUAAAUAUAUAGUUUGGAUCUUCUUUCUGGAAAGGUAUUCUUCAAUAAAAUUGUAUUAUUUGGCGGUAUAUAUAUCAAACUUAUGCAUAUCCUUUUCUUUUCUUUUCCUUUCCUGGAGCCCAUUAAUUAUUCUCUUAAUCUCCAUAGGGCAUUCUCAAUGGCUAGAAAACAAGAAUCUUGUUAUUGAAAACUUGAUCUUUUUGGGAGAAAAUCAAACCAAAGCAUCAUUUGUAUAAUCACAUUUGGAUCUUAAUCAUGAUCAAAUCAUAAGAAGCAUCCCAUAUACUCUACCAACUUGCUUACUAAAAUGGAAUGGGAUAAUAUCGGAGUAAAAGAAUUUUCAAAAUUAUUAUUAUUAUUAUUAUUAUUAUUAUUAUUAUUAUUAUUAUUAUUAUUAUUAUUUAUUUUUUUUAAUUUUUUUUACAUCACUGCAACAAUAAAGUCACCAAUAUGGAACAUGUCGGCAAUUGUCAGUGAACCUUCAUAUGAUUUUCUAUUCAGGUGCAAGUAAACUAUUUCAUCUGGUCCAUCUCCUCGAACAAUAUUCGGCUUGAUGUGUUAAGCAUAUAAGUAUAUAACUACCAUUUCUUCAGAAUAUGAUCGAAAUCUUCGUUUUAGAAAAUACGAAUUUUAUUUAAUUCAGUAGAGUCAACAUUGGGGCUACACAAAAAAUUGCGAACUCAAACUGAAGUCGUUGGUUCAAGUCCACGUGAACUCAUGAUUUUUUUUUUUUUUCCCUCAAACCAAACUAAAUCAUUUAAAAAUAGAUUAUUUUAGAUUUUAAGUCGUUUCAAAAUAGAUUAUUUUAGAUUUUGAUUUUCAAAAAAAAGGCACAAAGCCAAACAAAAUCGUUUUUUAAGUUUUUUUAAUUCAAAAAUUAAUUUUAUUAACUUGCAAAUUUUACUCAAAAAAAAAAUCAUAAAAAAAUCAACAACACACGUCAUAAUCCUAUAUCUAAACCAAACUAAAAUUAUUCUCAGAUAAUAUGCAAUGAAAAAAGGGCAUAUAUUUUUAACAAUCCAAAUCAUAAUUCAACAAAACUACUACCGUAAGUCAUGCCCAAAGCUUCAGAAACCUUAACCUAAACUCUCAUUUCUUAAACAUUUUACGCUUGUCUACUACUGCUGAACGAAAUGCAAUUCCCCAUCGCAAAUCGUUAAGUCGCUUUUUGAAUUUUUUUCANNNNNNNNNNNNNNNNNNNNNNNNNNNNNNNNNNNNNNNNNNNNNNNNNNNNNNNNNNNNNNNNNNNNNNNNNNNNNNNNNNNNNNNNNNNNNNNNNNNNNNNNNNNNNNNNNNNNNNNNNNNNNNNNNNNNNNNNNNNNNNNNNNNNNNNNNNNNNNNNNNNNNNNNNNNNNNNNNNNNNNNNNNNNNNNNNNNNNNNNNNNNNNNNNNNNNNNNNNNNNNNNNNNNNNNNNNNNNNNNNNNNNNNNNNNNNNNNNNNNNNNNNNNNNNNNNNNNNNNNNNNNNNNNNNNNNNNNNNNNNNNNNNNNNNNNNNNNNNNNNNNNNNNNNNNNNNNNNNNNNNNNNNNNNNNNNNNNNNNNNNNNNNNNNNNNNNNNNNNNNNNNNNNNNNNNNNNNNNNNNNNNNNNNNNNNNNNNNNNNNNNNNNNNNNNNNNNNNNNNNNNNNNNNNNNNNNNNNNNNNNNNNNNNNNNNNNNNNNNNNNNNNNNNNNNNNNNNNNNNNNNNNNNNNNNNNNNNNNNNNNNNNNNNNNNNNNNNNNNNNNNNNNNNNNNNNNNNNNNNNNNNNNNNNNNNNNNNNNNNNNNNNNNNNNNNNNNNNNNNNNNNNNNNNNNNNNNNNNNNNNNNNNNNNNNNNNNNNNNNNNNNNNNNNNNNNNNNNNNNNNNNNNNNNNNNNNNNNNNNNNNNNNNNNNNNNNNNNNNNNNNNNNNNNNNNNNNNNNNNNNNNNNNNNNNNNNNNNNNNNNNNNNNNNNNNNNNNNNNNNNNNNNNNNNNNNNNNNNNNNNNNNNNNNNNNNNNNNNNNNNNNNNNNNNNNNNNNNNNNNNNNNNNNNNNNNNNNNNNNNNNNNNNNNNNNNNNNNNNNNNNNNNNNNNNNNNNNNNNNNNNNNNNNNNNNNNNNNNNNNNNNNNNNNNNNNNNNNNNNNNNNNNNNNNNNNNNNNNNNNNNNNNNNNNNNNNNNNNNNNNNNNNNNNNNNNNNNNNNNNNNNNNNNNNNNNNNNNNNNNNNNNNNNNNNNNNNNNNNNNNNNNNNNNNNNNNNNNNNNNNNNNNNNNNNNNNNNNNNNNNNNNNNNNNNNNNNNNNNNNNNNNNNNNNNNNNNNNNNNNNNNNNNNNNNNNNNNNNNNNNNNNNNNNNNNNNNNNNNNNNNNNNNNNNNNNNNNNNNNNNNNNNNNNNNNNNNNNNNNNNNNNNNNNNNNNNNNNNNNNNNNNNNNNNNNNNNNNNNNNNNNNNNNNNNNNNNNNNNNNNNNNNNNNNNNNNNNNNNNNNNNNNNNNNNNNNNNNNNNNNNNNNNNNNNNNNNNNNNNNNNNNNNNNNNNNNNNNNNNNNNNNNNNNNNNNNNNNNNNNNNNNNNNNNNNNNNNNNNNNNNNNNNNNNNNNNNNNNNNNNNNNNNNNNNNNNNNNNNNNNNNNNNNNNNNNNNNNNNNNNNNNNNNNNNNNNNNNNNNNNNNNNNNNNNNNNNNNNNNNNNNNNNNNNNNNNNNNNNNNNNNNNNNNNNNNNNNNNNNNNNNNNNNNNNNNNNNNNNNNNNNNNNNNNNNNNNNNNNNNNNNNNNNNNNNNNNNNNNNNNNNNNNNNNNNNNNNNNNNNNNNNNNNNNNNNNNNNNNNNNNNNNNNNNNNNNNNNNNNNNNNNNNNNNNNNNNNNNNNNNNNNNNNNNNNNNNNNNNNNNNNNNNNNNNNNNNNNNNNNAAAAAAAAAAGAUUAAAAAUAAUUUUAUUUCUAAACAAUUCACCCGUUAAAAAUUAAUUUUGAAUUUGUAUUUCAUUCUCUAAUAAUAAUAUAAUUCGAAACUUUGAAAAUGUAAAAAAAAUAAAAAAAAAUUAAACGGGGCAAAAAGUUGCCCCGUCCCUGCCCCAUUAGAUGGGGCGGGGACGCCCUACUCCAAACUGGCCCGUUGCCAUCAUUAAAUGUGAUGGAUAAUGAUCAUAUUUUUUAUUUUAAUGGGAAGCAAACGGGGCUAUAAAAAAGUUAGGAACAUAAAAUUGUUUGGAUCUUUAUUAAAAAGUUAAUAAAAAGGCUUUAUUAAAUAUAUAGUUUGGAUCUUCUUUCUGGAAAGGUAUUCUUCAAUAAAAUUGUAUUAUUUGGCGGUAUAUAUAUCAAACUUAUGCAUAUCCUUUUCUUUUCUUUUCCUUUCCUGGAGCCCAUUAAUUAUUCUCUUAAUCUCCAUAGGGCAUUCUCAAUGGCUAGAAAACAAGAAUCUUGUUAUUGAAAACUUGAUCUUUUUGGGAGAAAAUCAAACCAAAGCAUCAUUUGUAUAAUCACAUUUGGAUCUUAAUCAUGAUCAAAUCAUAAGAAGCAUCCCAUAUACUCUACCAACUUGCUUACUAAAAUGGAAUGGGAUAAUAUCGGAGUAAAAGAAUUUUCAAAAUUAUUAUUAUUAUUAUUAUUAUUAUUAUUAUUAUUAUUAUUAUUAUUAUUAUUAUUUAUUUUUUAAUUUUUUUUACAUCACUGCAACAAUAAAGUCACCAAUAUGGAACAUGUCGGCAAUUGUCAGUGAACCUUCAUAUGAUUUUCUAUUCAGGUGCAAGUAAACUAUUUUUAUUAUUAUUAUUAUUAUUAUUAUUAUUAUUAUUAUUAUUAUUAUUAUUAUUAUUAUUAUUAUUAUUAUUAUUAUUAUUAUUAUUAUUAUUAUUAUUAUUAUUAUUAUUAUUAUUAUUAUUAUUAUUAUUAUUAUUAUUAUUAUUAUUAUUAUUAUUAUUAUUAUUAUUAUUAUUAUUAUUAUUAUUAUUAUUAUUAUUAUUAUUAUUAUUAUUAUUAUUAUUAUUAUUAUUAUUAUUAUUAUUUAUUUUUUAAUUUUUUUUACAUCACUGCAACAAUAAAGUCACCAAUAUGGAACAUGUCGGCAAUUGUCAGUGAACCUUCAUAUGAUUUUCUAUUCAGGUGCAAGUAAACUAUUUCAUCUGGUCCAUCUCCUCGAACAAUAUUCGGCUUGAUGUGUUAAGCAUAUAAGUAUAUAACUACCAUUUCUUCAGAAUAUGAUCGAAAUCUUCGUUUUAGAAAAUACGAAUUUUAUUUAAUUCAGUAGAGUCAACAUUGGGGCUACACAAAAAAUUGCGAACUCAAACUGAAGUCGUUGGUUCAAGUCCACGUGAACUCAUGAUUUUUUUUUUUUUUCCCUCAAACCAAACUAAGUCGUUUCAAAAUAGAUUAUUUUAGAUUUUGAUUUUCAAAAAAAAGGCACAAAGCCAAACAAAAUCGUUUUUUAAGUUUUUUUAAUUCAAAAAUUAAUUUUAUUAACUUGCAAAUUUUACUCAAAAAAAAAAUCAUAAAAAAAUCAACAACACACGUCAUAAUCCUAUAUCUAAACCAAACUAAAAUUAUUCUCAGAUAAUAUGCAAUGAAAAAAGGGCAUAUAUUUUCAACAAUCCAAAUCAUAAUUCAACAAAACUACUACCGUAAGUCAUGCCCAAAGCUUCAGGAACCUUAACCUAAACUCUCAUUUCUCAAACAUUUUACGCUUGUCUACCACUGCUGAACGAAAUGCGAUUCCCAAUCGCAAAUCAUUAAGUCGCUUUUUGAAUUUUUUUCAUACCUGAGUCGCCUCUUUCUCAAUAAGUCUCAUAUUUUUAUUCAAGUCAUUUUUAUAUUGUUUUUUUCUUUUAUUUGUCGUUUUUGUACUUAUUAUACACUUGUCAAUUAUGGUUUGGAUAGAAUAAAUGAAUGUUUAUGUGUUUAGGUGAUUAAUGAAUUUAUUUAUGGUUUGAAAAGAAUGAAGGACGGAGCAUAUUGAUUAAGUGAAAAUAUUAAAGUUCCCUAAUUAAUACUUCCUUCUAGUUUCUUGAAGUAAUUAGAGAAUGAAAUUCGUCAAUUUCCAAGAAGCCUGAACUAUGUCAAUCUUUAUAUAUCGAAACAUACAAUGUCCAGUCCUUAUUUUUCAUCUCGCUAGCAAGAUGAAAUGAGUUUUAACCAAACUAUAAUAAUAUAAUACGACUUUGCCUUGACCAACCGUUAUAUAACAAUAUGGAAGGUGAACAAGAAACGGUAAAUUAAAAGCAAGAAAGAUUUGUUCGUUCUAUCUUUUAGCAACCAGUUUUGAAAAUAAUUUUUCACAGGUUUCAUGAGAAAUGUGAAUGUAAUUUAACAUUUAACAUCAUUAUUUCUCGUUUAAACUUAUAUAUUAACUUGUUUUUAAAUAUAUUACUAUAAUUUUAAUGGAUAAAUUGCGGAAUAAAAUCAAACCAAACGGCAAAUUAUGGUUUAGCUUGGUUCGAAAAAUAAAAUGAUUUAGUUUGGUUUGAAAAAAAUUUCAAAUCGUAUGAAAUAGUUUGAGUUGAAAAUAUGACACAAACUAUCCGAACGAAAUCACGUUCACCUCUAAUCAACACAAUAGAGUUCCUUGUUAGUAACCCUAGAGCAUAGAUUCUGCCUAAUAGUAUGUUCCAAAUAUGAUAAUAAUUACUUGAAAAGAGCCUAUCCUAAAGAUCAAAUCACAUGACCCACAACCAUUUUGUCAUAUUCAUGCUUUUACAUUUCAAAAUUUUUAUAGAUUAUCUUGACGUGAAAGAAUUGUCUCAAUUCCCGUUACUAACUUUUCUAAAAAAGAUGUGCACGUGGGUAUGUUUGGUCACAAUACGUGUGAACCAAAAAAGUAUCCUUGAGAAUCCUCAGAAUAUCUUCAACCUUUCACAUGCAAAUUUCCUAAUGACAGUAAAUGCUAUUACCAUCAAAGGAAACAAGAAAGCCAAUAGUAAUGUUGAGGAUCAGAAGAAUUAUAGCUCGAUAGUACUAAUUUGCAUAAGUGCACUCGAAAACUAACAUAAACUCAUCAAAUUGUUUUACAAGAAUUACAUAUUCGCUCGACUUAUAAGUAUAAAUUUCUAACUUGAUUAAUCAUCAAACUUUCCCCAUCGAGUUUUCCGCACCCCUCACAAGUAUAGCCAGAAAUUAGACGAGUGUAUCACCAUCCCAAGAUUCAAUUAGUAUUCUUUUAGCAUCAACUUUAAAAAAAAAAAAAAAUGCAGAAUUGAAUUUUGUAGCUCUUCCAUGAACUAUAAAUGUAGACUUGACUUAUAUGUAUUACAUACAACAUCUAUCUUCCAUACAUAUAAUAUCUAUGCAGAUAAAUAUGUUUAUAUCCAAGCCAAAUAUGAACAAAAAAUAUAUCAUAUAAUAAAGAUUUUGAUCAUCAAACCUUUUCAUGGGGAAUUCAAUUUAUCUUCCAUUGCUAUGGACUUUUUGCAAUGAGCAAUUGCAGCUUGAAUUGCUGCCUGCAAUUCUUCCAUGGUGCUGUCACUAGUACUAGUUGGAGUAAGACUGCCAGUAGCCACUAAAAGACCACUAUUUGUUGGAGAUGUCCUCAUUGAAGCCGGCGCCGAAAAUUCACCUCUCUUUCCUCUCAAUUCUUUCUUGUUUUUAAACAUUAAAUUCCCCGAGAGUGAAUAAGGCUGCCUCCCAAAUUCAGUAUUUCCUCUUCUGUUUCUGAAUAAAAACAAUGGCCUAACCAUUCUCAGGUACCUUUUCACCACAUGACUUAGCUCGAACUUCAAUUUAGUCGUCUUCUUCUCUUCUUUUUCUCUAUUUUCACAACCUUUUCGCCAUUUUGGUAGACCAAAUAAAGAGAAAGACUUCGACUUUUCUCUCCCUUUUGCUUCGAAUCCAAUGCUUUGAUCAAAGUUGUGGUGAUCAAUCCUCUCAUCUUCUUUGCUUAGUUCUUUUAUGGGUAGCGUAAAUCUAUCCAUCGAAUUGGUGGAAGAGCGAGGAGAGACAGGAAGGUUGGAAAGGAGAUGAAGAGGAAGUAAAUGGCCAUGAAAGAAUAUAUCAUCUGCUGGAGAUAAAUCUACAGCAAAUGAAGGAAGGGUUGAUUUAUUUUUACCAGGUGGGAUUUUCGCGGUGGAUGGAUGGACAGAAAUGGAGAAGGAGAAUUCGGGAGAUGAAGAAGCUGAAGGUGGUGAGGCUGCUGCUGCUGCACAUGGCUCUGGAUGCUGCUUCUCUUCAUCUUUCUCUCUUAUCUUCUGAUUUUGUCUUUCCAUGACUUUGUGUCAAAAGAUUUA